GAAAGAUUAAAGGUUUUGAGAGAUCUCAUACGAAUUUUGCUGGGUAGAAUCUUAAGUUCCUUGCAAUUUGAUAGGUUCAAAUGACUCAACCCCGUGAGAUUAUUAAUUGAUGGGGGCAGUUCUUUAAUUUUUGACCUGGAUAAAUUAAGUUCUUCUAACUCUUUCAUACCUUUUGAAAUCUCUGGAAACAUCUCGAGACUGGAGCAGCCAAGAAGAUUAAAGGUUUUGAGAGAUCUCAUACGAAUUUUGCUAGGUAGAAUCUUAAGUUCCUUGCAAUGUGAUAGGUUCAAAUGACUCAACCCCGUGAGAUUAUUAAUUGAUGGGGGCAGUUCUUUAAUUUUUGAAUAGGAUAAAUUAAGUUUUUCUAACUCCUCCAUACCUUUUGAAAUCUCUGGAAACAUCUCAAGAUUGGAGCAGCCAGAAAGAUCAAAGGUUUUGAGAGAUCUCAUACGAAUUUUGCUGGGUAGAAUCUUAAGUUCCGCGCACCAAUUCAGAUCCAAUAAAACAAGGUUUGUAAGAGUCGAAAUAGACGCGUGAACCUCAACUAAGCUUAUACAACUUCGAACAAUUAGCCUCUCAAGAUUUGGCACAUUUGUGAAGUCAGGGGUUUCCUUAAGGGAUUGACAAUGACUUAAAUUGAUGAAUUUCAACUUUUCCUGCGUCUGUUAAAACAUUCAGGAAAACAUGCAUUACUUAAUAAGACAUCUCACUCAAAGCCCAAACAUUUAAAAGAAACAAAUACAUGUAAAUGAUUGUACGUACCUGGGUUCCUUCCCAAAGUCGAUCAAUGAGACUAUAUUGCAUGUCAAGUUCAACAAGAUUUUCGAAUUGAAAGUUGGAUGGCAAAGACUUGAGAGGGAAAUCAAGCCAGGAGAGAUACCUCAGGUUAAGCAACUUUAAGGACCCAAACAGGUAUUGUUUGCAGUACUCAUCUUUAAAAACGAAGUGCCUAUGACUGAUCUCGAGAAGUCUUUGUUGAGUCCUUCCAACAACAGCUUCAGCAUUUAAGUUCCUAUGAUGACUGAUCUUGAGAAGUCUUCGUUGAGUCCUUCUAACAACAGAUUCAGCAUUUAAGUGCCUAUGACUGAUCUUGAGAAGUCUUAGUUGAGUCAUUCUACCAAAAGCUUCAGCAUUUAAGCAUGGCCAGCCUGAGUACGAGAAAUCCACAAUUAUGCUUUCAACUGUUUUUGUAGCCUGUGCAAAUCAAAGUAAAGGAAAAUACAGAGAACCUUAGUUUUGAUUAUGAAAUUAAUGAUUGUUUCUUAAGGAGCCGUCUGAUAAUCAUUUCAUUUUCUGUUUAAUUGUUUUCAAUUUCAUUAUUACAACAAUGAAAACUAAAAAUUGAAAACAAAAAUGGUUAUCAAACGGGUCUAAGAAAUUGAUUUUGAUCAAAAGUUGAACCUUUCUACUAACAAUUGCAUAAGAAAAAUAUUUCUCACCGCAUUUUCAGUUAGCACCUGACGAACAUCUUCAUAACUCCACAACCUACUUCGUCUCCCAGGAUCUUUGAUAGAUUCUUGGCGGACAAUUUCCCAACCCAUUUCCUCUAAUGAAUCAUGCAUCUCCAAUUCCCCCAACCUUGAGACAGUUAUGAGAGAUCGAUCGAUUAGAACUUUUAUUCCUGUAUGAGGAUGGAAACCACAACUGUCCAGAAUUUCAGUUGCCUGGUCUUCCUUCAUCCCUUUAAAGAAACAUGCAAUAUCUAGAAAGAUGUCCUUCUGCGUGUCAUCUAGUCCAUCGAAGCUUGUUUUAAGCACAUCAUGAACUCCCCUUUGUGGGAUUUUCCUUAUUUUUUCCAACUCACCUUCCCACACGCGUAUGGUUUUUUUAUGCAAAAAAGCUCCCAAGACUUUGAGGGCUAAAGGCAGACCUUGAGCAUAUUCUACAACACGAUUCGAGAGAUCAUCAUAAUCUCUAGUGGGUUGGUCAUUUCUGAAGGCGUGCUGCCUAAAGAGUUUCAGAGCUCCAGAAUCACUCAAAGUCUUGGGAUUAUAUAUCACAUCAGCUAUGCUUAGUAACUGCGAAUCUCUACUUGUUAUAAUAAUCCUACUUCCACCACCAAAGGAAUGUUGCUCUCCAAGUAAAGCUUCAAUUUGUUCUAAUUUGUCCACAUCAUCAACAACAAUAAGAACUUUUCUCUGACCAAGGCUUUUUAACAUCACCUGGAAACCUUUACUCAAUAUGUCAGAAAUCCCCACCUUGUUGUCUGAGAUACUAGAUAGAAGUAGUGUCUGCAUAUGUAGUUCACCCUGCUUCAUGAAACCCUCCUUGACAUUUUUAAGAAAGCAACCAGCUUCAAAUCGACAAGAGAUUUCAUCAUAAACAGUUCUAGCGAUGGUUGUUUUGCCUAAACCACCCAUACCCCAUAUUCCAACAACGCGAACAUUAUUCGUUUCACCUCCGGGAGGAUAUAAUAAUAAAUGCAUUUCAUGCAUGUGAGAAUCCAUGUCAACCAAGCCAUUAUCUUUGCUUGAUGUUGAUGAGAUGUCUAUCAAUUUCCUAUAAACAUCUUCUACAAUUUCCUCAAUAAGCACCACAUCAUUCCUGUCAAAUUUAAAAAACAUAUAAUAACAACAUCAAAUAAUAAUUAAUGGGUCUUUUUCAUCUGUUAGUUAAAAAAAAAUAGAAAUUAAAACUAAAACUAAAAUCUAAACGUUACAAAAAUCCCAAAAAUUAAAAGGAAACUAAAACAAAUUAGAAUUUACUCAUAGUUUCGCGAAUCCCAGCCGGAUAAACAGGUGGCAGUUGUAAGAGUAGAUCUCCAACUCCGAACCUCUUCCAUUUCGGCGUUAGAAUCGCGAUCGUGCUCAGAAAAGCUUGUGCGAAACUUUUCUUGAGCUUACGAACAUGAGACGGAUCAACUUCAUAGAAAAUGGGGAGUACAAUCUGGUUAUUGGUAUCCUUGCAUUCCAGGAUUUGCACGAGUUCUUUCAAGCACCAAGUGGAAGAAGCAUAGUUUUGAGAGAAAACUACAAGCGAAAGCCUUGACCCUCGAAUCGCUGUCAGGAGCUCGGAAAGGUGGUCGCCUUUUCUGAGCUUUUCCGCAUCAAUGAAGGCGUUGAUUGGUUUCUUAACCAGAGCGUUGUAGAGAUGGCUGACGAAGCCCCUGCGAGUGUCUUCCCCUCUGAAAUUGAUGAACACAUCGUAUUUCCAACCAAGGUUAGAAGCAGCAGCCAUUAAUCGAUCGCACCUGGUCAGCGAUGAUCGAGCAGCUAAGACUAAGAAUAAUGUAAGAACAGAAAUACUCGAUUGAUCUAUAAAUUGAAUCACUGAAGAAACUGGUCUGAUCGAUACGAAGUCAACGAAGACAAAGAAAAUAAUGCUUUAUGUGUUUUCACAUCUUCUUCCGGGAAAUUUAACGAAAAUAAUUUUCCUUUAGGCAAAAUUGACUUCAAAAUAUAAAAAUAUUCUUUCAAUUAUGGACAUAUGACAUUUCGGUGUGAAACGAAUAUGCUUAUUUGGUUUGGUUUGGACCCAAGAAAGGACAAAGAUUGUCUGCCCUCCUACUUCCGGUGCCCUUCCAUGCCCUUCUGUUUGUGUAGUCACGGUUAAGCCACGUCAACAUUUUAUAUUACUAUUUAUUUUUGUCUUAUUAUCUCUAUAAAUAAGCAAUAUAAAAUAUUAACGUGGCAUAAUCGUGACCACAGAAAACAAGAGUUGGCACCAAAAAUAGGAGGACAAACAACCCUUGUCCCCCAAGAAAAUGCUAAGAAAGGAUGGUUUAGCAGCUGUGCAUGAGGGGACUGGGUCAAAGUACCCUGUUGAAUCCACUCUUGCCUACCCAACAACUUAUUUAGUUAUUUGUAAGCCCGAAAUAUAUCCCGAUCUUUCUAUUCACACCAAAAGUAAGUAGAGUGAUAAGAAAUAUUUCCGGUUAAGUAUAAGCAUGUCAGUCUGCAGCAGCAUAGCCACGUUAAGGGCUACCGUGGGCUGUAGUCUAUGUAAUUUUCAGUGAAAAAUAAAAUUUUACAUGUAAUUUUUAUUGAUUUUCAAAUAUACUUCUUCAUAUAUACAGUCUUUAAUCUGAAUUAUCUCAUUUUAAUUAUAUAAUUAUAUAAUACAGUUUACAAACUGUCUCUUUUUCUUACAUCAUUUUUCUCACCGCUUCUUGCACAUGUACAAGUUUGGAUUUUGUUUGAAUUUUAACACGUAUUUGUUUAAAAACGAAAAUCCUUGGCUUACAUAGUGAAAAUUUUCUUAAGUUAGCUGAUACUUUGAAAAAUACAGGAUCAAGUUUCUUUGUUUAUAAAGAUUUAAAUCUUUAAGCUAGCCCACCCGGUGAAAAAUUCCUAACUCCGUCAUGCAUUUUACAUAUAAUUUUUAUUGAUUUUCAAAUGUAGUCCAUCAUAUAUACCGUCUUUAAUCUGAAUUCUCUUGGUUUAAUUAUAUAAAAUUAUAUAAUACAGUUUACAAACCGUCUCUUUUCUUACAUCCUUUUUCUCACUGCUUCUUAUACAUGUACAAGUUUUGAUUUGUUUGAAUUUUAACACGUAUUUGUUUAAUAACGAAAAUCAUUGGCUUACAUAGUGAAAAUUUUCUUAAGUUAGCUGAUACUCUGAAAAAUACAAGAUCAAGCUUCUUUGUUUAUAAAGAUUUAAAUCUUUAAGCUAGCCCCCUGGUGAAAAAUUCCUAGCUUCGCCAUUGAGCAUGUGGUAUAUCCUAUGAUAUCAUGGACGGCAAACGAGCGAUUAAUGGUUGUUUGGCAUUUAAUUUGAUGUCACGGUAGUAACGGUACUCUAAAAUCUUUGAUAUACUUGCUUUCAGCUACAAAACUACUAGAACUCCGAAAAUUGCUUAUGAAAAUAAAAAUAUUGACUAGAUUUGAACUUGUAUAAUCUAUGUCUUCACUACACAUUGUUGUGUUCGCUCGUGUUCUAAAGUUGACGCUAGCUAGAAGGUCACAGCAAGAAGCAGAGGAGGCUAACUAUUGCAGAAAUUUGUUUAUUCAAAAGCAUUUGUAAAAACACAUAUUGAAAUUAAUUCACGCCAAAAAUAAAUAAUACAGUGGUGGCAGGCACACUACAACAAUAGGGUUUUAACCCUAUGCAUUUUUAUAUUGGCUUUUGUGUUAUCAGUUGCGACCGCUCGGUGGAGAGAGCAUUUUAUGUUAUGAAUAAAAAUACCACUGCGUAACAAAAUAGAAGAUUAAUGGUUGAGUGAUAGCUGGUUUGUUUGCAAUGAGAGAGAUGUUUUUGCUUUUAUUGAUAAUGAAUCUAUAUACGCGAUGUUUUCAUAGCAUAAAACAUCGCCGACAACAAUUGUAACUUUUUGUGUUGAUAAAUUAGGAAAGACAUUAAUAUUUUCUAAUAUCUAAAAGAAUUUGGAUGUCUACAUUUUUUUGGAAAACUUUUUACCCUUCUAAAUUUCGCGCCUCUCCCGACAAUUCCUAGCUUCGCCACUGCUAUAGUCAACUCCAAGUCUUGUCCAUGAUAUCAAUAUCCCUACUGUAAACGGUGACUUCAAUAUAAGCUAACAAAAAGUUUGUAUAGAGAAGAUAUAUGCAUGAAAAAAUGGCAGUGUUUGUGUUGCCGAACGGAUGAUACUGAAAUACCUAAACCCAAGUCAAGCUCCUUUAGUCCACAAAAACAAAAGUUUAGAAUACAAUAAUGUUUGCAUAUAGAUUGGAGAAACGACAUACCACCGGCCAGGAAGGUGCAGUGAAAGAGAGAGGAAAAGAGGAAAGAAACAAAUACGAAAUGACAAAGACUAUCAAAUAGAUUAUAACAAUGACUUCUUAGCGGUGAUCACAACUAUUCAACUAUCGAUGAUGCUUUAUUUUAGAUUGAGAUGUGGAAGCAUCUGAGAAGUAGCAUGUCAACAACCAUUACACAAUAAUAUUGUCUAAUAUCUAAAAGAACUUGGAUAUCUACAUUUUUUUAGAAUCUUUUACCCUUAUAAAUUUCGCACCUCUUCAGACAAUUUCUAGCGUUGCCGCUGCUUCAGUCAACUCCAAGUCCUAGUGGUUCUUGUCUAUGAUAUCAAUAUACCCAUUGUAAAUGGUGAUUUCAAUAUACAUAGAGUGUGUACAGGGGAGAUAUAUGUAUGAAAAAAUGGCAGUUGUUGUAUCUGUGUUGACGAACGGAUGGUACUGGAAUACCUAAACCCAAGUCAAGCUUCUUCAGUCCACAAAAACAAAAUGUUUAUUAUAUAAUAAUGUUUGCAUAUGGACUUGCGAAACAACAUACCGCCGGUUGGGAAGGUGCAAUGAAAGAGAGAGGAAAGGGGGAAAUAAACGAACAAGAAAUGACAAAGGCUAUCCAAUAUAUUAUAAAAUGACUUCUUGGCAGUGAUUAAGCUAUUCAAUUAUCAAUAAUGCAUUAUUCUUAAAGUUUAUAAUAUAAUAAUGUUUGCAUAUGCACUUGCGAAACGACAUAUCGUCGACUGGGAAGGUGCAAUGAAAGAGAGAGGAAAGGAGGAAAUAAACGAACAAGAAAUGACAAAGACUAUCCAAUAUAUUAUAAAAUGACUUCUUGGCAGUGCUUAAGGUGUUCAACUAUCAAUAAUGCAUUAUUCUUAGGUUGAAAUGUGGAAGCAUCCGAGAAAUAGCAUGGUAACAACCACACAAUAAACAAAAGUGAUUAGAGAAAAGAACCAAAUGUGAAAGGAUAAUUAAAAACAGUUAUUCAAGAUCGGCGGUAAAUCAUUCAGCUAUUUACAAGAUUUGAACUUAGAACCGCAAUCUACUAGAUUGUUGUAUCAACUAUUAAGUGGUGUUCUAAUAUAAUUCUUAGGAAUUUCAAGGAGGCAUAUGGGGGUGGAUCAUUUUUUUUCUAAAUUCGACAGUACAAAGAAGAAUUUAAUUGAUAACGGAAAAAAUAAGUUACAUAUAGAGCUGGAGCAUAUAAUAGACCCAAAUUGACCAUUUUUAGGCUCCACUGCUAAGAACUAUUGCAAAAUGCUCAUUAGGAUUACCCUGUGAACUCCGUCCUUCCACACCAAGCCUCCAAACUCAGUCCGAUAUGUUGCAGCUAGUUUAGAUACUUGUCCCCUGCAUGUUACAGAAUCACAAGAGCAAGCUUACAAAACUGCAGUUUUUACUCAUAGUUAUUGCAAAUGAAAAUACAGGUUGGUGCCAGCAAUUAUCAGUGUAAUUCUCUAUCCGACGGUAUUUCUCUCGCCUUCUCUUGAUAAUUUCGGAUGUGACAUGUUUAAGAUAACUCUUCCAAACACGUUGCUUAUGCCUAAUUUUUAAUACCACCAUAUCAUAUCAUAGUAAAUCCAAAUAACUAUCGAAUGGCAUUUAGGCAUCUAGAAUAUCAAAUGCAUUACUUUACAUUGAAAAUUCAUUUAUUCAAUAGCAUUAAUACACUAGUAAAAAAAACACUUUGCACGACGUAGGUCCUUCGUCGCGCAAAGUCAAAACAUGUCGCGCAAAACUUUGCCCAACGAACCUUCGUCACGCGCAAACCGUCGCAGCAAGGCAGUGACAUAAGGCUUUGCACGACGAAGGGUUACAUGCAUCGCGCAAAGCCACUUUGCGCGACGCAUGUAACCCUUCGUCGCGCAAAGCCAUUUUGUGUGAUGCAGGCUGCGUCGCUCAAAGUGGCGUCACGCGAAGAUGCUUUGCGCGACACAUGUCAUUGAGUUGCACAAAAUGACUUUGCGCAACGUAACCUACGUUGCGCAAAGUGUAUUUUUGGUUUUGGUCAAAAAUAUUAUUUUCUUAAUUUUUAAUAAUGUUGUAAUUAAAUUCUAAACAAUAAUUAAUUAACCAAAAAAAGUAUUUAAUUAUAAAAUAUAUGGAAAUGUACAUACAAGAUGUCCGAAUAAAAAAGAAAAAACUACAAGUAGUCUUCUAGGUGAAGUGGCUACUGGGUAUCAACAUGGUGAAGUGGCUUCUAGGUGAAGUAACAUUUCGAUGACGUGAAAAAGUUUCAAUUGGUCAUCUACAAGUGUCAAACCUAACACAUUUUACUUAAAAAAGAAAAAGGUAAUAACAUAACUCAAAACGAAAAGCAAAAGGGAAAAAAAAAAACUUUGCGCGACAUAAGUACAUAUGCAUCUCGCAAAGUUUUUUUUUCCCCCUAUUGCAGAUACAAAUAACAUCAUCCUUUUGCAAGAAUCAGUCUCUGCCCUCUCGCCCUCCCUCUCCCGCUCCCUCUCCUUCUCCUUCUCCCCUGUGUAGUUGUUGGUUGUGUUGUACGAAGUCGUCCCUCUCCCUCUCCCAUGUGUUGUUGUUCGUUGCACAAAGUAUUUUGCCCGAUGCAGGUGUACCUACGUCCCGUAAAGAUUUUUUUUUUUGCCCUUUUGCUUAUGAGUACAAAAUAAAUAAAUUAAAAUCUACUUACUAAAUCAACUAUGGAGCUUUUGACUUGUGUUAGAACACUGGAAAGAAAGACAAAAAGAGACAUUUUCAUGUUGACUUUGCACGACGCAUAGUACAUCAUGCGUCGCGCAAAGCUGUUUUGAGUGACGUAGUGUACCUGCGUCGUGCAAAGUUGGAAAAAAAACGGUAAAACAUUCUUGGUUUGGCCCCAAAAUCUUGCGCGGCGCACAAAACGUCGUGCAAGUGGUCUUUAUGCGACCAUACUUUGCGCAACGAAGGAGUGCGUCGCGCAAAACAGUUUUGAACGACAUAGAUGUACCUUCGUCGCGCAAAACAAUUUUGUGCGACCCACUCCUUCGUCGCACAAAGACCACUUGUGCGACAUCUUGUGUUUAGCGUUGCACAAAGUAUGUUUGCGCGACGAAAUUUGCUACGUCACGCAAACAUGUUUUUGUACUAGUGAUAACACACACAUUGAAUCUCCACUUGCCCACCCAAAAACUUCUUUGUAAACUAGAAAUAUAUUCCAAUCUCCCUAUUCACAUGAAGAGUGAGUUAGAGUGAUUGGAAAUAUCUUUGAUUACGUGUACGCACACCACAUAUGUGCCAUAUCCAACGGUAUUGCGGACAUAAAGCAAGCAAGUAAUGGUUGUUUGGCUUCUAAUCUGAUGUCACGGUAGUGACGGUACUACUUUGAAAUCUUUGAUGUAUAUGUUUUUAACUACAAACUACUAGAACUUCACAAAUUGCUUAAAUACAAGUUCAAGCAAUAAUAAGAAUAUUUCCAAUAGAACACCUUUCAUAGGGCCGGUCCAGAAAUUUUUGAGGCCCGGGACGACGUAAAAAAAAGUGCCCUAACUUCAUGUAAGAAAAUUAUUUAUUUUCACACGUAAGACAUCGAUAAAAUUAUACUUAGAAAAACACUUCAAACUUAAUAAUUUAAAAACACAUAAAGACUAAUUUAUUUUGUAUUGAGAGAGGGAAACAACAAAACUUCGGGCUUACAAGUAGAUAGAUGAUGAGUUUUGUUUUCCAUCUGAACUUUGAAUGUGUUUUUGAAUAAAUCAUGAGGUGUUUUUUUCUUAUUUACUAAUCUUGUCAAUAUGGGACUAUAAAAAAAUGAUGUUUUCGAGUCUUUAAUUGAUAUGUAUUAUUAAUGAAUUGGCACUAAAUUAAACAUUUUGAUGACAUGUCAUAUAAUUUGCAAAUUUGGUCUACGUAUUAUUCUUUGUUGAAGAUUAGACUUGAAUUAAAACGAAUAUUUAAAAAUAACAACCCACAUAUCUACUAGAUAGUAACUAAAAAUAAAUUAACAACCAAACAAAAAUUUGUAAAAAUUGAAAAGAAUAAACAUGCACAUAGCACUUCAAACAAAAAUCAUUGUUUCUAAGGGGGGUGUAUUCAAUUGAGAAUGUGAAAGAUUUUAAUGGAUUUAUAAAUCCAUGGAUUUUUAUGGAGUUUAAUUGAUUUGUAGAGAUUCCAUAUAAAAUUUUGAUUCAAUUCCUUCGAAAUCUCAUGGGAAGAGGUGAGAUUUGUGGAUACUUAAAAUACACUACGAAAUCUCUCCAAUUCCCUCUAAUUCUUUAACUUUCUCAAAUUCUUUAAAAUCAAUUUCUAAUUGAAUACACUUGGAAUGUUAUAAACUUCUUUAAAAUCUUAAUUGAAUACACCUGGAUUUCUAAGGAUUUUAAUAAACUAUUUUGAAAUUCUAAUUGAAUACACCUAGAAUUUCAGAGAAUCACUUAAAAUCCUAAUUGAAUACCCCUGGAAUUAUUAAUUCCCUGAAACUCUCUCAGAAUCCUAAUUGAAUACACCCCUCUAAGUAGACUUCUUGAUCCUUUUACCAAAUUUUAUAAAUUUAUUCUCUUAUGAAAAGAAAUUUGUAAAAAAUGAAAUGUAAAUAAGCACACAUGGUGUUUUGAACCCAAUACCUCCUCAUUAUUUUCAAAUGACAAACCACCACUUCUAGUUAAAUUUCUAUGUCUUUGAACCAAAUUUUAUAAAUUUAUACUCUUAUAAAAACAUACAUAAAUUGACACACCCCAUCCCGAAGGAGGGCAUGCUGGCCGUCACGUGAGAGUGACGUAACCAUUUGCACAGUACGGAAGCUUUAAGAUACAAUUUAUAAGUUGAUACACCCGAAGGUGAGUCCUAAUUUUGUCCAAUCUGUCAGAACACCGUCGAAUUCCUCGUAGUCACCACACCUUUGUGAUUCUUGAACCUGGAGGGGCGCAAAACCAAAAUUGAGUGGGUCAGUAAAACAAUUCUUUUCCAAAUCCAAACAUUUCUCAAAACGUUGUAACCCCUCUCCGUAAAACCUGUAUACUUUCCCAGAAAUGUAAAAUAUAAAUAUACAUAUAUAUUCUCAAAACUUCAUUUUUACUAUCUCAACAUUUUUCUUUAUCAAUCAUGCCAUGCCAUGUCUAAUUCAACAGUUAAAUAUGGAUGCAUCAACAAUAAUCAUAUCAGGUGCAAGAAAGUAAUCAACCGGAGGCCCUCUAAUAGCCCUGUACGGUUGAACCUAGAGCUCAAAAUCUAUCACUAUCACUCUACCGGAGUCACCUCUGUGACCCGUCCGGCCUUCUGCACACAAGUUAUGCUCUAGUGCUUUCUCAUCAAUCAUCUGUGCACAUAAUCUAAGGUCACCCACCAGUCGGAAUCUCACUAACACUCUCGCGACUGGCCUGUCGUACCCACUCCGCGUGGACUGUACGACUAGCAUCUACUUGGAUCCAAGGCGAGCGUGCGAUGCGGUGAAUACUAUAAGCACUAAACCAUUGGUGCAGGAUUUGAGCUCAAUAUAUAUCAACAUCAUCAUAACAGUAAUUAAAUACUCACCUGAUACUCACCUGUGCGUCCGCCGCACCAUUCAUUCAUAUGCAUCAUAUCUCAAUUCAUACUUUUCAUAUCAUUUCAUGCAUGGCAAUUCGAUUCACAUUUCUAUAUACUUUUCAUAUACUUUUAUGCAUGGCAUUUCAACUAAUAUAUCUCAUAUACUUUUAUACAUUUUCAUUAAAAACAUAAUUUCAUGCAUUUUCAAUUUCUGGGAAACGGCAAGUAUAUAUGUAUACGGAAAACAAAACUGCCCACUCACCUGGAGUUCGCCCUACAACUCCCUAGCACAAUACGCCAAGGCGUCAUGACGAUCGGCGCCUAAAAACAAUAAUUAAUUCCAACCUCAGAAUUCAUAGUGAUAGAAUAUAUAACUUAUAUAAAAUACGUCACUACGUAGUUCGAUCCGGAAGAUCUGCCACUCAGAUUUUAAAUCCAUAACUUCCAGAGGUCCACAAUAUACCUCUAGGACAACUUCCUAAAAUUUCAUUACCAUCCAACGGUCGGAUCUCCGUCAAUUUCCAAAACUAAGUGACGGUUAACAUUUUAUUUUAUGAACUUACAAUUCCAAUUCCGGAAGAUCCGUAACUCGGAUUCCCAAUCCGUAAGUUCCAAUAAUCCUCAAAUAUUACGUAUUACAACGUAUCAAAGUUUGGUAACGAUCCAACGGUCGGAUCGUCAAUUCACAUUUUCACCAAAACUAUAAAACGUUAUUCGAACACCUAACCAACAAUCCUUAAUAACUUUCUCAUACGGUGCUCAAAUUGGGUAUAUGAAUAUACCACGGUGAUCUACUCGACGUCACGGACGUCGACAUAUUUUUAAAAUAAUUUUAUUUAUUUAUUUUUUUUAACUGUAGCACCUUCUUCUUCCUUGGGUCGCCGGACUGGUUUUUCCGGCGGCCGUUUUCCGGGCAGUUUUUCAAAUUGUCAUAACUUUGUCAUUUCUCAACGAAAUCAAGUGAUUCAAAAACGAAAGUUGUAGCCCUUGAAGAGACAAAGAGAAUGGUACCUUGCACAACACCUAGUUCGCCGUGGUUUGGCCGGAAACUGCCUCGAAAGCCUCGGAGGUCGCCGGAAACUGGGUAUUUUUCAAAUGAGUAUAACUUCUUCAAUACUCAACGAAAUUGAGUGAAACAAAAAGGAAAGUUGUAGUACUUGACGAGACGAAGAGAUUGAUACCUACCUCGACUCCUAACUCGCCGGGGAUUCGCCGGAAAAUGCCUCGAAGCUCCGGCCAAACUUUGAACUUGUCGAUCUCCGUGUUCUUACGUCCAAAAACUUCCAACGAAGCACUCCGAGCUUCCUUGGAACCUCACUAAGCUCACUGUGAGCUUGGAUUGUCCUAAAACAAAGUCAAUUCGAAGAUCAUGAACAGUGCACUUUCACGGGGAGUUUAGAAUCUAGGUUUUUCCGAAGUAAAACUUACCUGAAAUUGGUGUCUACGUGAUCGUGGAGUCUCCAGGAGUUCGAUGGUGGUCUUAACUCCGUCGUUGGUAUAGAUUUAGGGUGGUUUUGGAGCUCGUCUGUGUGAGUUUGAAGGAGAGGGAGAGAGACAGAGAAUGAGAGAUUGUGAGGGAGGAGAGAGAGACAGGGUACGGGAAAUAGGGAGGGAUUUGAGGUGUGUGGUCCUACCUAACCCCAAAUCAUAAAAUUCCAUCUCCAAAUAACUUAGAAACAUAUAUUUCACCAAUAUAUGAUUCACAUAUCUUAAUCACGUUUAAGGGAAAUUCCGUCAAUUUACAAUCACGAGUGUAAAACUUUGGGACGGGCUGUGACAUAAAUAUAUCACCCUAAUAAUUUUGGUGCCCCUAAUUUUUCUGGGCCCUGGACGGUCGCCCUGCCUACACUGGGCCUAGGCCGACCCCCUUUCACAAUCCCUGGAGAGCUAGUUCAUUAAUAGACCGAGGAAUAAGUAAAUUGACUCAUUCAUAUAUUUAGAUCAUGAAUGUUUGGAAUCCAUAUUAUGUAAGGAGACAUUGCUUUUGCUAUUAUGAAAUUUAAAAAAAAAAAUGACUAGAUUAGAACUUGCAUAAUCUACGUUUUAUUCAUGGCAUGCGAUUAUUAAUGAUUAAAGCUAAGCUUAAUACUAUGGGAGGUAAAGUAGUGGAAAGCAAAUCCUUGGCACUCAUGGCACUUAUGGAGAAGAUGAAGAAAAGAAACCUAGGUCGUAUUUAUAUACAAACAUGUGACUAAAUUACAGAAAUGAUAACGAGAGAGCAUGUGAUUGUUGACAACCAGUGACAUGAGAAACACACUCUGGGAUCAUAUCCAUCAGAAGCCCAAUUCCAUCCUGUGUAAGAAAGAGAGCAUGAGAACACGAACAUGAAAAAUGAAAGAAUUGUAUUCAGCAUUUUGUCAAGCUAUCAAUUGGUACACAAGCAUUAUGAUGUAAUAAUCAUGUUAAAAUAAAAUAUAAAUAGUAAAACUACACGUCCAAGCUUUAAUCCAAAGAAUUCUCACUUAGUAGUCCAAAGCUAAUUGAUUACCAUUCGGUUGAUCCAGAAACACUCAACCUAUCCAACUAUUUUGCGACGUUACCAAAAACUACUACUACUUUCCAGGUGAAACAUGAAGGGUGAAAAAGCAAACAUGAAUCACUAGAUUUACUACAAAUGAUAUACCGAACAAUCUAACAGUAAAUAUCAACAAGACCAAUCCAACGUUAUCACAAAGCAUAUAUCAAUAAGAAAAAUAUAAAAAUAUUGUUACCUUACUGAAAGCUCCAAUAUUCGGUAAGGUAACAUUGGAGGUCACUAUCAUCUUUCCCGCGAUCAGUGAAUAAAAGCCAAAGAUCUGACUCUUGGAUUCGAGUCAUGGGUUUGGGUCGCAAUUCUCUCGUCGCAUGUUUGAAUACCAAGUUCAUCUUAACAGACUUGGUUUUUUUUAUCAAACAUCUUAACAUAUUUAGGGGUGUGUUCAAUUGGGGAUUUAAGAGAUUUUAAUAGAUUUAUAAAUUUAUAGAUUUAUAUGGAGUUUAAUUGAUUUGUAGAGAUUUCAUGUAAAAUUUUGAUUCAAUUCCCUCGAAAUCUCAUAAGGAGAUGUGAGACUUGAGGAUGUUUAAAAUACACUACGAAAUCUCUCCAAUUGAAUUCCUCAACUUUUUCAAAUUCUUUAAAAUUAAUUUCUAAUUAAAUUCAAUUGAAUGUUGUAAAAUUCUUUAAAAUCGUAAUUGAAUGCAUCCAGAUUUCUAAAUAUUUUAAUAAACUAUCUUAAAAUUCUUAUUUAAUACAUUGAAUUUUAGACAAUUACUUAAAAUUCUUAUUGAAUACCUUUAGAUUCAUUAAAAAAUUUAAAAUUUUUCAAAAUCCCAUUUGAAUACAUCACCCUUAAUAAAUUGUACAUUACAUUAUAUCCCAUUUGAGCACAUUAGCUUAUGCCUCCGGAUUCUGCAUAUCGGGUCGGGUUCCGAAGUUCGAGCUCACAUUUGAUAAUCAAAUUCAUCACAUUUGAUCCAACGGUGGUAAUUGGCAAACCCACCUCGGAGUCAAAAGAUGCGGCCCACGCUCCCUCUCUUUUCCAAAACCCUAGCAAAACCUCGGCCCUAUAAAUACCUUCCACAUCCGCCGCAGGAGGCACCCAAAUGCCCCUUUCUCUUCCCUUUCACACACUAAUCCCUCGCAGAGGCGAUGGGAUUCCCAGUUGCUUCUCCGUCGGAGAAACCUUUCCAACUGCUCCAUCUCUUUGCACCAUCGCCUCUGUUUCUUUUUUAUUUAUUUACUUAAUUAUUUGAGCAAUUUCCUUUAUCCUUGCCAUUCAUAUUUCAGAUUUUCAGCUUGUUUUUUUUUAUCCGAAAAAUAAAAUCGAAGUUGUAUGAGUUUUUUGCAAUUUUGUUGGGUGAGGCCGGUGAUGAUCGAAACAUAUUUUGCCUACAUUGCUUGAUUAUCUUAUUUUAUUGAGAUAAUGAUAAAAUCCGAUGUAUCUGAGGCCUUCCCGGAAGAACGAGCUUUAUUUUAUUUUUUAUUUUUUGGGUAAAAUGUAUUAUUUCAAAUCUUAAUAUUUCAAAAAACUGAAUUUUUAAAUUUCGACUAAAAUGAUGAGUUUUGUUGAUAUUUGCGAUAUAUCACUUAAAUAGUGAAGAAAUUCUUAAUUUCGUCUUAUUAAAUAUGUCAGAUUUUGUUUGAUAUUUUCUCGAUGUCAGAAGUCGAACUUAGAACUCUUAACCAUAAGAAUUGAAUUGAGCUACACUGGAUGCGUUGGAGAAAAUAUUAAUAACUGAAGGAGGAUUUAUGUUAUAACAAAAAUAAAAUAAAAAUGGUAUUCCGGUGCCAGGAUUCGAACCUGGAUGAAAACUCUUAACCAAUAAGACUUUUUGUGGUGAGCUUCACCGGACGACUUGAUAAAUCAUGGCGAAAUAAACUAUUUAAAUGUACUCCUUACGUUGUGCCGUAGAUAAACAAUUAGUGCACAUAAUGUAGUUAUCUGAUUUGUGGGGAAUGGUGAUGCUCACCGCUUAAUGUCGUCGUUGGAUCAGUUUAAGUUUUGAGAUCUGUGAAAUGAAUAAAUACAAAUUUAAAAAUUUAAAUUUAUUUAAUAAUAAUAAGUAUGGUAAUGAGAAAAAAAUGCAUCUUAUGGUUCAGAAACACACUCUCAAAUUUAAAUAACAAUUUUCAUGCUUUCCAACAACACAAAAAUUUUAUAACUAAGAAUCAAUCAAAACAUAAUGAUUGAAUGAGCGAGGAUUUCUUUUAUUUUUUCCAAAUUUUCUGAAGGUUUUUUCUAUAAAAUUUAUGGUGUCAUGAUUGCCUUAAAAGAAUCGUAAAUGUGUUCCUUGAAAAAUAAUAUGAAACCGUAUUUUGAGUUCUUAUGUUUAUUGUUUUAAUUCGAUCUAUCGUUUGAAGCCGCCUCCACCAAAAUAAAUUCAUAUCUAUAUUUUUUCUAUAACGAGUGAUUAAUAAAUCCAACCGUUUUUCAGCACCACAAAAUAAGUUACAACCCGAACACUAACGAGCGAUUAAUGGGUCCAACCGUUUUGCCACAUAUAUAUUUUCUUUUUAUCAAAACAUGCAAAUAUCUUCUUUACCAACUUGAAUCUCCCAUCGUUUGUUUUCUCUUCAUCCACAGAUUUGAUCUGUCUUUUUUGGUGAUCAAACCAAAAUUUUCUUGGACAUGAUUGUACAUACAACCAUUAAUAAACUAUCUCCAACAAAAGCCUAAACAUAGCCUCGUCCAAAAUUAUAGUCUUGCAAAAAAAUAUUUUUUUAAUAAACGAUGUCAAACUAUACUCAUGUACUAUCUUUAACCUGUAUGAAACCUUAAAAUGUAGUGAGCUUCAUCAGUUCAUGUUUAGUGCAAUUAUAUAGAACAAAAUGGUUGUAUUUCAUUUAGGAUUAGGACUUAUAUGUGUGACUUGUAAGGGAUUUAGAGCCACAAAGGAGGGAAACUUGAAGUUACAAUUAUUUGAAUUUGGCGACAGUUAAUCGAAGGAAAUUGCUUGUAACUGCAUCCUUGAUGGGAGGAUGAGUUGCGGAACGUACAUAUAUAUAUAUAUAUAUAUAUAUAUAUAUAUAUCACUUUGAUCUCUCUUCUUAGGUGUGUGUGAUCCCUCACGUAGAAAUAGUCCCAUUGAGUGUUCUUGGAUCAAUUUUGUGACCAAAGGAAGAGAAGAUAUCACAUCCUGGCCCGGGACGGACCACUUCCCGGGCCCACUCCACCACCGUAGCACGAUAUUGUCCGCUUUAGGCCCCGAUUAAGCCUUCACGGUUUUGUUUCUGGAAACUCACGAGCAACUUCUUAGUGGAUCACCCAUCAUGGGAGUGCUCUGCCCACCUUCUCACUUAACUUCGGAGUUCAGACAAAACCCGAAGCCAAUGAUCUCCCAAAAUGGCUCGUGCUAGCUAGGGAUGAGAAUAUACAUUUAAGGAUCACUCCCUUGGACGAUAUGGGAUGUUACAGAAGACAAAUGAUCAAACUUGUUGUCAAUGUCUUCUUCUACAAGUAAGUAAAUUCUCAUUACUUGUUAUAAUCGCUGCAUGCAUAAUGACACAAUAAAUGCAACAAUUAUCAUUCAAUGUUAAGAUUUCUGAACUAGGAUCAUGGUUUAAUUGUUAAUGAUAUAUAUAUCCAAGCAUAACCGAAAUAGCUAAACAUAGCCCCAUAAUAAUUUAUUAUUUUAAACCUUAUACUUUAAAUUAAUUAAUUAAUUUAAUUUAAUUAUCAUUGUAUGUUUUCAAAUUUAGCCGUUUAAUUUGAAUUAAUUGUUGCAACUGAGGAGCUGGAUCCCCAAAAAGGGCUAAGAGGGGUUCUAUAUUUGACCAACUUGAUACCCCUUAGGCUAAUAAUCAUCUGGUGGGCUCCAUAAAAUUAUAGUCUAGUCAUCGGUUGGAAAUAAAUUUUUAGAUAAAUCAAGGUCAUUUUUAGUUUUUAAACCUUUAGUCAUCUCAAUUGAAAAUGACCUUAUGUCUUUAUACGAUGUGCCUCCUAUUUCCAGCUUCAACUCCAACUGAAGGAUGUAAACGUAAUUAUCAUCUAUAGAGAUUCAUCAGAAUUUGAGGGGUUAGAUGACCCCUACUUGCCUCUUAAUGGAUUGGCCUAGGGGUGGGCAAACGGGUAUAGGAACCGCGGGUCGGGGCGGGUACGGACCGGUUCUUAUUUUGUAAAAAUAAAAAUGAGGCGAGGUAGGGCGGGCUUUUGAAAUUUUCGGUUCGGGCUGGUUCCUGAAGUAUGGUAGCGUUUGGUACGUGGGACGGGACGGGACGGAACGGGACGAGCCGUUCCGUCCCACGUUUAGUGCGCCUAAAAACUGUGGAACAGGUUGUUCCAUGGGACAAAAUUUGGCUGAUUUUUCGUUCCACCUCUUCCCCCUGGAACGACCCGUUCCACAUCUGUGGAACACAAAUUUAUAACAUUUUAUGACAAAAUUUCUCCUUAUCUUUUUCAAUAUUUACAUCAUCUGUUCCGUCCUGUUCCAUCUCGUCCCGUCCAGUCCUGUUCCGUCCCGUUCUGUCCCAUCUGCGUACCAAACGGUACCUAUAGGAACCGCGGUUACCCGGACCUGCCCGUUUGUAGUUAGAAUGGACGUAUAAGAUUGAAGAGAUCAUCUCUCCAUCCAAUCUGAAUCGUUGGUUUUAGGUUUGCUCAUCCUCAAACUUAUCGAAUUCAACUGUCACUCUUACUCUGUUGAUCGAGUCUCUCUCGCCGUCUCCAGUGCGUCGUCUCCUUCCCUCCACCACCCCGACAACACGACGGCCCAGACGACCACCAUCUUCUCGAUUUGUCACCUCUCUCUCACCUCUCUCUCGCCAUCUCGAUUUGACAUCCCAAGGACCCAGACUUACAUAACCCAGCCACCCCACCACCCAUCUUCUCGAUUUGUCACCUCUCAUUUGCCGUCUCGAGUGUGUCUUCCCCUCCUUCACCGAGGAGGACGAGAUUCAAAUCCUGCUGGUUUACUCCAAGGAGAUUAACAAGCGCAUGCUCGACACCGUCAAGUCCAGGAACGCCAUUGCUUCCGCUGCUCAAAACGGCGCCAUGGAGUCCGAGACUGUGAGCUCUGCGGUGGAAUGUACCGCUGUUGCCGCCAAUGAAGAUGCUAAGGCUGAAGAGCACAGAUCUCUCCAUGUGUGUUAGGUCACUCUUAGCUUCAUAUUAGCCUAUUAGAGCUUUCAUAUCGAGAUCUGUUCAUAUUUAUCAUGGAUUUCUUGUGAUGCCUAUAUACCUAAUGACCUGUUAAAUAUUUAAACUUUGUUAAUUUCGCUAUGCGCUUCAAUUUUCUGUGGAUUAUAUUAUCUGGGUUUCUGUUGUGAGUAUUGAUCUACUGAGUCUUGAUCUGCUUUGUUCAGAGAUGUUUAUGUUGAAGAUUUUAUAAGGAAGUGGGUGCAUUUGGAAUUGGAAAAUUAUCGAAAUCUUUCCUCUUGCAUUAUUUAGGUUUCCUAUUGCAUAAUCUGCUGCAUUAGUGAAUCUGUGCAAAUUCCAAUUUUUUUUUUUCUAAACAAAAAGAAAACCAAGAACCCGUGGACCCGGCCUGAACCGGCCCAUUUCAACCAGGCCGAGUAAGGUCCAAUUCCUAUAUAAGAAAAUGUAAUCCCCAACUCGGUCCGGCCCAUCUCCUUUGCACCUGGAUCCACCAGUGGCCAUAUGCUAUUGCCCUUUUAUUUUCUUUUUUCUCCUGCCAUGGGCGCAGUCAUGGGUAAGUAGGUAAGUUUGAUUACGCAAUUAAUUGGGCACUCUAGGAGACGCGUAGUGUUAGUGCAGGCUCAAAAGUCAAAAGGUUAAUGAGGAGUGUGGAUGGAAAGCCUGCCCUAAAUACGUUUGUAUUCCUUUGCUGAGUUACUGUACUCUGCCCUUUUCUCCUCUCUUCCUGGAAAAUUCACUCUAUUGAUCUCUGGCCGUGUUUUGCGUGGCAUGAAACAAAACGGUCAAGUAGUGUAUAACAAUUUCAAAAAAAAAGGUCAAAUAGUGUAUAACAAUUUAUCAUAUAGAAAGUUGAUGGUGCUGCAGAUGAUUAAUGAGAGUUUUAACGAAAAACUCACAGCACUGUUUACUUUAACGAAAAGCCACAUUUUUACAUUAAAAAGUCAAACCUAGUACUAUUCAUUUUAUCCUUUAUUUUGUCUUUAACAUUAAAACUCAAAGUUUUCAAACAUUUUUCAUUAGUUUUCCUAUGAUUAAUUGGUGUCCGUAGAAAUUACAUGAUAUCACUCAGACUUUAUCCAACAUAUUAGGCCAUCUCCAACAAAAGUCUAAACAUAGCCCCAUCUAAAAUUAUAUUCUUGUAAAAAAUUAUCUUUUAAUGAAUGAUGUUAGACCAUACUCAUAUAUCAUCUUUAACCGAAAUGGUUAAACACGGCCACUUAAUAAUUUAUUAUUUUAAACCUUAUACUUUAAAUUUAUUGGUUAAUUUAAUUAAACUACCAUUGCAUGUUUUCAAAUUUAGUUGUUUAAUUUGAAUCAAUUAUUGCAACUGAGGAGCUAGAUCCCCAAAAAGGGCUAAGAGAGGGUCUAUAUUUGGUAAGCCUGAUACACUUUUGGCCAAUAAUCGUCUAGUGGGCUCCACAGAAUUAUAAUCUAGUCAUCGGUUGGAGAUGAAUUUUUGAAUAAAUCAGGUAAUUUUUAGUUUUUAAUCCUUUAGUCCUCUUAGUUGAAGAUGACCUUAUGUCUUGCUUUAUAUGAUGUGCCUCCUAUUCCCAGCUUCAACUCCAACUGAAAGAUGUAAACGUAAUUGUCAGCAAAGAGUUAGAAACAUACCCGAAUCCACGUUUUAUAAGCAGAAACUACACUUAUUUGACAUGUUUCCUCAUUUUUUUUACUUGCAAAUUCAAAACCGUCUUGUCGGACCAGUAUAACAAAAUAAUGUUUACGAACAACUGUUAAAACUAAUCACAACAAGUUAAUGCAUAAAGAACUUACGGAUACGGAGGGUGCUAUGAGGCCACCGAAAAGGGUAAACCCCGCAAUAAAUGAAUUCACCUUGUGAUUAAUACUUUGCACAACUUUUUAUGAACCGACAAAAGGCUACAACAAAUUAUGGCUAAAACAGGUCGGGGAUAUGAAAAUAAAUGUCUUCACAGGGUCAGCAGCUUACCAGGGGAGGCAAAAAUGGAAUGAAUGAUGGAAAACUUGAUCUUCAUUUACCGCUCCAAGCUCUGCGCGUUUAAUCCGCUGUUGUAUCCUCAGCCUGCGAACCUACGCAUAUCGAAGCUCAUUCUUAAAGAACACAUUUCUAAUGGCAAUUGGAGAGUAAUUUAAAACAUGCUAAACUGAGAAAGUGGUAGCAACAAGCAAUUGCUCUCACCUCCUCCAUAUGCAAGAAAAUUUUGUUGCGACGACUCCGAAUAUUAUCUUGAAUUUCCUGCAGCUCCAUUGUCGCAAGGUCCUGCACUGUUUCAGGCCCCUCUAUGAUACAAAAUCUGCACAAUUAAGCAUGUAAAAACAAAAAUUUACAGGCUACAAAGCAAUUUCCAUAAUUUUUGGGUUAAUUAACAUCAACAGCAGAUAAAUCACAUGGGUUUUUCACAUAAAGUUACAAACUUUCAAAGACCAGUAAGCUGUCUGCAAUCUCAUAAAUUUCACAGUGCAAAGUAACAAUCCAAAGCUUGGAAAAUUUUCAUUUUCUGUUAAUUUCCUAGAGAGAGAGAGGGGGGAGUACCCGGCGGGGUUUGUAUCGGCGGCGGGAUUGGGAUCAGAAUCGACAGACGGAGCGAAAGAGGAGGAGUCGGGCUCCGAAGCCAUGGCCAGGGAUCACCAUCUGGAGCUGCUUGUUGAUAUGGGGCUUCUUGGGUAGCUGAAUUUGGAGCAGCCGGAGCUACGCAGUUUGUACGGACAGCACCGAUUUACGGGGAAAGAAACGGCAAAAAGUCUGCCGGAGCAGAGCAUCUCUCUCUCUCAAACCAGAAGGCAGAGCUUUCUGUUUCUCUACAGGUUUCUUUCACUGGUAAAUUCCGGAGAAGCAGAGAAGAAGGGUCAAAGGGCCAUGUAUAGUUUUAUAGUCAUACAAAAAAUUAUAUUUUAAUAAAAAAUGUAAGGCCAUAUUUUAUUAGGAAAAUUAAUGAAAAGGCUUGAAAACUUUGAGUUUUAAUGAUAAGGACAAAAUAAAGGGUAAAGUGAAUAGUACCAUGAUUGACUUUUUAGUGUAAAAAUGUGGUUUUUGGUUAAAGUAAACAGUACCAGGUGCUUUUCGUUAAAGUUCCCUAUUUUAUUCCAUAUCCAACUUAGUGGGCCAAUGGACCGUAGGCCAAACAUAGUCAUUUGACAAAAAUCUUAUCUCUAACCGAGAGAGCUAAAGGACCGUAGGCCGAAUAUAACUCCUUAAUAAUUUACUUUUAACGAGUGACUCAAUUAACUAUUUUCAUUUCUUACACGUUCAAAAUUAGACAAAUUCUUUGCAUACAUAAAAAAAAUAUAUAUAUAUUAAGGAGAGAGUAUUAAACUAUUACAUUACGGGUUUCGAACUCGCGAGAACCCUAAUGCCUCUCCACUAGGAUAUUAGACCAGUAAAUUAAAAAGAAAUAUUUAUAGAGGGCUGGAACCAGUCGAAGCUGGGGGGCUAGGCCCUCACGCCCAUAUUAUAUUACUUGAAAAAAAAACAUACAACAAGGAGGACAUAGUACUGAAACCCUGACAAUCAAAAGCAAAAUCAUAUACGACCACUCCAAGCAGUCAACAUAACCAUCACAUAUUGAAUCCAAAAGGUUGACGACCCAUUCGCUGCAUAUAAUGUACAGAAGAUAACAAAUUUUGAAGUGAUGCUCCAAGUAUGAUAUUGGGCAGAAAAGAGCGGCGGCUUCAACCACUUCUUCAGCUAUAUCCGGCUGGGUGAGAGCAGCUAAAGACAUGAUUGUUCCCUAAGAACAUGAAUACAUUGAGUAAACACCAAAAGUAACUGCUAGGGAAGGAGAUUUGAAGUAGAUUAAGAGGUUUAAUACCUGUGAAUGUCCAACAACAAAGACGUUGGAGCUUGUUGAAUACAUGCAGCGCAUCAUUUCUGAUAGAUCAAAUCGAGCCAAUUCCUGCCAACUCCAAUCCCAAAAAUCCUACAGUAAAGCAUAAAUCUUGUUCUUUUCUGAUAAAGAUGUGUCCCUGACUCCAACGUGUUUGACGCACAUUUUCUACCCAUACAUCGAAACCUUCAUCUGCUGGAGAAUUUAAGAAUCAUGCAUCACCUGGUUAAGAUCAAGAAAAGCCAGUAACCAAUUUCAAUUGAGUUUGAAGCACAUUAGAGCCCAAUUUAAAAUGUAUCCGAUGGAUGUUCAUCACUUCACACAAUAGUUAGUUUCAAGAAAGGAAAUUUCAACGCAACCUGAAAACUUCAGAUCAGGGGGCACCAAAUAGUGAGCUAUACAUUCAAAUUUUGAAAUAAUCAACGCACAAUAUGUUGAAAAAAGUUGGAAGGAGCUAUGAAAGUAAGGCUUUUCACUAAUCAGGCGUCCAGAGAAUCAAUAUUUUUACUCACGGAUCAGUUAGGGCGAACACUCCCCACCAAAGCAAUCUCAUUAGUACUUCACAUCUCAAACCAAACAGAAAUUGCAGUAACAAACAUGACAUCUAUUAGUCCUUCACAUCUCAAAUCCAGUAAGUACCCAUCUUUCGUCAGAAUCUGGAAAACAAGCAGCAGUGGAUUUAACAAUCUGGGUAUCUCAAAGUUACUCACUUUAAUCACAACAUAUAAAUGGGCAUUUUCUAGUGAAAUGUUAGUGUAGUACUCACUGUGUUGCUCCGAGCAAGAGUACCCAGAAAGCUCGAUGAGCUGAGCACAGAGGGACUGCAGUGGUGAAACGGCGACCGAUUCUGUAAAAUUCAGUCCGGUUUUGGGUGAUUUCUGAGGCUGAUAAGGAAAGCUGGGACGGAAGGGCACAAGUCUGGAAGAAAGGCUCUGGUCACCAUUGUCGCGAUUCGUGGAGGAAGAAGUGCCCCAAAACAAUUUCAGUCCUGAACAGGUGCACCGUUUGCACUGGGCCAGGGCCGACCCUGAAUCGCUAUAGCGUCCUUCUCCAAACAGUAUAUAUACAGAUGCUAGAAAUAUCUACCAGAACCAUUCAAAUCUAGCAUCUACAGCUUUAGCAUUUAGUUGGUACAAGGUACACUCUUCCGAAGGGAGAUGAAAUCAUUGAGGCUCUUAUAUAUUCCUCCUCUUGAUGUGCCCCUGUAGACUGCUAAUUCCAGACGAUCCAAUCUCAUACAUGUUCCCUGCAAAAGCAUGCGUGCCAGACUUCAAGAUCAAACUCGUUAGCGGAAUAAAUGGUGCACAAAGGGAUUUAAAAUCUUGACAUAUGUGUAUUUUUGGCAGAUUUUAUGCGAGCAUGCAACUAAAACUGGCAUCACUAUCAAUGGUGCACAAAGAUCGGCAGAAAAAACGUAAAGAGAAGCAAUCACAACGCAAAAUGUACGAAGUAAUCUGUCCACGUAUUGGGAAAACAUUAACACUGGAUGAGGGGAAUAAACAUGGAAUUUUGAUAAAAGUCAGAAUUUAUAAAUUGACAUGCAGUAAUUUUCUUGUUUGGAUUUAUAAACAUAUAAAUUUAGAAUUUCCGCGUGGGAAAAACAAAACUUGGAACUUAUGACCUCCAAUUCUCAAGUUUAAAUUUCAUGUAAAUAUGUGUCAUUUCUAAAUUUCCAUGAGAGAGUUUAAAGAUAACAAAUACUGUUAUUUCAAUUUCUAUCAUUUUAAAAUUUCUUAGUAAUCUUAAAUUUCCUCUUCCAAACAGAGUGUAACAGUUUGUAACUUCUCCAUUGUAUUUGUUCAACUAUGCAAUUUUCUGUAAAACUUAAAAGGCUGCUUAGCAUCUCUUGUUCGUUGUAUUGAAUACCAUGGUUUUACCGAUGAAUGCAAAGUUUGCUGAUGAUUCAUACGACAAGCAAUUGAAAAUCCCAUUAUUAUGCCCCACAUCAUUUACACAAAUUCAGAGGGCUCAUCCACUGUAAUUUGCAGGUACAGAAAUGUUAUGAUUAAAGGAAAUGCAAACUACCUUUCACCCAGAUUGGAGGAGCACCGGUGGCAUUAGCAAGUGAGCAACAGGAAUUGACAUACCAAUAUCUUCACAGUUUCCGCACAAGCACAAAUCAAAAGAAUCCGGCGGCGGAGUUAUGUACCUCUUCUUGGAAAAAGACACCUCUUGGGAUUUCAUAAAAUCCGGCUGUGCCUAGACGUCUGACCACGCCAAUUCCACCAAAGCUGCUGCAACGCGGCGUAGUGUCCGAUUGAUUGCUUCAAAACAGAGCUUCGUAUCCAUGUGUUUAUAAGCACAGAGUACCCAAAACCCCAGAAAAUUAUUUCUUUAUUCAGAUAAUAAAAUUUCGCAAAUUUCGAAUUUUAAUUCCGAACCAAAAAUAGGGUUUGAAUUUUGAUUACCUAGAAAUUGGGGGUUGGGGUGGAGAGGGACUGAGGCCAAGACGCAGCUAUGUGUCCGUGAUCAGGUGUGCCAAUUUACAGAGGGUGUCGGGAAGAUGCACAAGGCUUUUGCAGUUUCUCAGAUUUAAAUACUGAAGCCCCGUAAGGCGUUCAAUCCAGGGGGAAAGCUCUUUGAUAGAUGUUCCAUCCAAGAAAAGCGCUCUUAAUCCUUCCAUAUUUUCUUCAAUGCUUGGAAACACCUCAAACUUUGUACAACCGGAAAGAGAGAGAUAGACCAGGGACUUGAGCUGACAAAUGCUGCUUGGAAGACCCUUAAGUUCCUUGCAAUCAUCUAGCUUUAAAUAACUCAAUCCCGUGAGAUUAUUAAUUGACGAGGGCAGUUCUUUAAUUUUUGACCCGGAAAAAUAAAGAACUUUUAACCCCUCAAUCACUUCUGAAAUCUCUGGAAACAUCUCUAGACUCGAGCAACCAGAAAGAUUAAGAGUUUUGAGAGAUUUCAUACGAAUGCUGCUUGGAAGACACUUAAGUUCCUUGCAAUCAUCUAGGAGCAAAUGACUCAACCCCGUGAGGUUAUUAAUUGACAGGGGUAGUUCUUUAAUUUUUGACCCGGAUAACUCAAGCUCUUCUAACCCCUCAAUCACUUCUGAAAUCUCUGGAAACAUCUCUAGACUCGAGCAUCCAGAAAGAUUAACGGCUUUGAGAGAUUUCACAAGAAUGCUGCUUGAAAGACACUUAAGUUCCUCGCAAUGAUCCAAGCUUAAAUAACUCAACCCAGUGAGAUUAUUAAUUGACGAGGGCAAUUCUUUAAUUUUUGACCCGGAUAAAUCAAGAAAUUCUAACCCCUCGAUCACUUCUGAAAUCUCUGGAAACAUCUCUAGACUCGAGCAACCAGAAAGAUUAAGCACUUUGAGAGAUUUCAUACGAAUGCUGCUUGGAAGACACUUAAGUUCCUUGCAAUCAUCUAGGUGCAAAUGACUCAACCCCGUGAGGUUAUUAAUUGACGGGGGUAGUUCUUUAAUUUUUGACCCGGAUAACUCAAGCUCUUCUAACCCCUCAAUCACUUCUGAAAUCUCUGGAAACAUCUCUAGACUCGAGCAGCCAGAAAGAUUAAGGGUUGUGAGAGAUUUCAUACGAAUGCUGCUUGGAAGACACUUAAGUUCCUCGCAAUUAUCUAGGCUUAAAUAACUCAAACCACUGAGAUUAUUAAUUGAUGGGGGCAAUUCUUUAAUUUUUGACCCGGAUAAAUCAAGAACUUCUAACCCCUCAAUCACUUCUGAAAUCUCUGGAAACUUCUCAAGACUCAGGCAGCCAGAAAGAAAGGAAUUUAAGAGAUUUCAUACGAAUGCUACUUGGAAGACACUUAAGUUCCUUGCAAUCAUCUAGGAUCAAACGACUCAACCCCGUGAGGUUAUUAAUUGACGAUGGCAGUUCUUUAAUUUUUGACCUAGAUAAAUCAAGCUGUUCUAACCCCUCAAUCACUUGUAAAAUCUCUGGAAACAUCUCAAGACUCCAGCAGCCAGAAAGAUUAAAGGUUUUGAGAGAUUUGAUACGAAUGUUGCUUGGAAGACUCUUAAGUUCCUUGCAAUUUUCUAGGUUCAAAUGACUCAACCCCGUGAGAUUAUUAAUUGACGAGGACAGUUCUUUAAUUUUUGACUUGGAUAAAUCAAGCUCUUCUAACUCCUCCAUACCUUCUAAAAUCUCUGGAAACAUCUCAAGACUGGAGCAGCCAGAAAGAUUAAAGGUUUUGAGAGAUUUCAUACGAAUGCUGCUGGGUAGAAUCUUAAGUUUCUCGCACCCUUUCAGAUUCAAUAAAACAAGGUUUCUAAGAGUCCUAAUAGACUGGUGAACCUCAACUAAGCUUCUACAACCUUGAAGAAUUAGCCUCUCAAGAUUUGGCACAUUUGUGAAGUCAGGGGUUUCCUCAAGGUAUUGACAAUAACUUAAAUUGAUGACUUCCAACUUUUCCAGCGUCUGUUAAAACAUUUAGGAAAGCAUGCAUUACUUAAUAAGACAUCUCACUCAAAACCCAAACAUUUAAAAGAAACAAAUACAUGUAAAUGAUUGUACAUACCUGGGUUCCUUCCCAAAGUCGGUCAAUGAGACUAAAUUGCAUGUCAAGUUCAACAAGAUUUUUGAAUUGAAAGUUGGAUAGCAAAGACUUGAGAGGGAAUCCAAACCAGGAGAGAUACCUCAAGUUAAGUAACUUAAAGGGCCCAAUCAAGUGGUGUUUGCAGUAAUCAUGUUUAGAAAUGGAGUCCUUAUGACUGAUCUUGAUAAGUCUUAGUUGAUUCAUGCUAACAAAAGCUUCAGCAUUUAAGCAUACCCAGUCUGAGUACGAGAAAUCCACGAUUAUGCUUUCAACUGAUUUUGUAGCCUGUGUAAAUCAAAGUAAGGGAAAAUACAGAGAACCUUAGUUUAGAUUAUGAAACUAAUACUUGUUUCUUAAGGAGCCGUUUGAUAAUCAUUUUGUUUUUAGUUUAAUUGUUUUCAAUUUUCAAUUAUUAAAACAAUAAACACUAAAGGUUGUACCCAGUGCACAAGGCUCCCGCUUUACGCAGGGUCUGGGAGAGAUGAAUGUUGGCUAGCCUUACCCCCAUUUAUGGAGAGGCUGCUUCCAAGUCUCGAACCCGAGACCUACCGCUCAUGGGCGAAGGCACUUGUCAUCACACCAAGUGCGACCUCUUAUUAAAACAAUAAACACUAAAAAUUAAAAAUUAAAAACAAAAAUACUUAUCAAACGGACCUAAGAAAUUGAUUUUGAUCAAAAGUUGAAACUUUUUAUUGACAAUAAGAAAAAGAUUUCUCACCGUAUUUUGAGAUAGCACGUGAUGAACAUCUUCAUAACUACACAACCUACUUCGUCUCCCAGGCUCUUUGAUACAUUCUUGGCGGACGAUUUCCCGACCCAUUUCCUCUAAUGAAUCAUGCAUCUCCAGUUCCCCCUCCCCUGAGACAGUUAUGAGAGCUCGAUCGAUUAGAACUCUUAUUCCAGUAUAAGGAUGGAAACCACAAACUUCCAGAAUUCGGGUUGCACAGUCUUUCUUCAUCCCUUUAAAGAAACAUGCAAUGUCCAGAAAGAUGUCCUUCUCCUUGUCAUCUAGUCCAUCGAAGCUUGAUUUAAGCACAUCAUGAAUUCCCCUUCGUGGGAUUUUCCUUAUUUUUUCUAACUCAUCUUCCCACUCGCGUAUAGUUUUGUUACCAAGAAAAGCUCCCAAGACUUUGUGUGCUAAAGGCAGGCCUUGAGCAUAUUCUACGACAUGAUUCGAGAGAUCAUCAUAAUCUCUGGUAGGUUGGUUUUUUCUGAAGGCGUGCCGCCUAAAGAGUUUCAGAGCUCCAGAAUCACUCAAAAUCUUGGGAUUAUAUAUCACAUCAGCUAUGCUUAGUAAUUGCGAAUCUCUAGUUGUUAUAAUAAUUCUGCUUCCACAACCAAAGGAAUGUGGCUCUUCAAGUAAAGCUUCAAUUUGUUCUAAUUCGUCCACAUCAUCAACAACAAUAAGAACUUUUCUCUGACCAAGGCUUUUUAACAUCACCUGAAAACCAUUUUUUGAUAUGUCAGAACUCCCCACCUUGUUGUUCGAGAUAUUCGAUAGAAGUUGUGCCUGCAUAUGUAGUUUGCCAUGCUUCAUGAAACCUUCCUUGAAAUUUUCAAGAAAGCAACAAGCUUCAAAUCGAUUAGCGAUUUUAUCAUAAACAGCUCUAGCGAUGGUUGUUUUGCCUAAACCACCCAUACCCCAUAUUCCAACAACGCGAACAUUAUUCGUUUCACCUCCGGGAGGAUAUAAUAAUAAAUGCAUUUCAUGCAUGUGAGAAUCCAUGUCAACCAAGCCAUUAUCUUUGCUUGAUGUUGAUGAGAUGUCGAUCAAUUUCCUAUAAACAUCUUCUACAAUUUCCUCAAUAAGCACCGCAUCAUUUCUGUCAAAUUUAAAAAACAAUAUAAUAACACCACCAAAUGAUAAUUAAUGGGUCUUUUUCAUCUGUUAGUUUUCAAAAAAAUAGAAAUUAAAACUAAAAACUAAAUAUUUAUCAAAUUACCCCUAAACGUUACAAAAAUCCCAAAAAUUACUAGGAAACUAAAACAAAUUAGAAUUUACUCAUAGUUUCGCGAAUCCCAGCCGGCUAAACUGGUGGCAGUUGUAAGAGCGGAUCUCCAGCUCCGAACCUCCUCUAUUUCGGCGUUAGAAUCGAUAUCGUGCUGAGCAAAAGCUUCCGCGAAACUUUUCUUGAGUUUACGAACAUCAGACGGAUCAACUUCAUAGAAAAUGGGGAGUACAAUCUGGUUAUUGGUACCUUGCAUUCCAGGAUUUGCACGAGUUCCUUCAAGCACCAAGUGGAAGAAGCAUAGUUUUGAGAGAAAACUACAAUCGAAAGCCUCGACUCUUGAAUCGCUGUCAGGAGCUCGGAAAGGUGGUCGCCUUUUCUGAACUUUUCGGCAUCAAUGAAGGCGUUGAUUGGUUUCUUAGCCAGAGCGUUGUAGAGAUGGCUGACGAAGCCCCUGCGAGUGUCUUCCCCUCUGAAAUUGAUGAACACAUCGUAUUUCCAACCAAAGCCAGAAGAAGAAAAAGAAGAAGAAGAAGAAGCAACCAUUUAUCGAUCGCACCUGGUCACCGAUGAUCGAGCAGUUAUGACUAAGAGAAUUGUAAGUACAUAAAUACUCAAUGAGUCAAUGCAAAAGGGAAAAAGCGAAAAGGAAAUGGUUGUGAUAUCCAUACUUUAUUUUACUUUUUUAUACAUUUUUGAUAAUUUAUUUUUGUUAAUUUUUUUUAAUUCAUCUAGUUUUACAUUUAAAAAUUAAAAAAAUUUAUGAGAAGUUGAAAUGUGUGAAUAUCACGUCCAAAGGAAAAUUAUGCUUUUAUGUGUUUUCAGAUCUUCUUCAGGGAAAUUUCGAUGGGAAUGGAAUCUGCAUGCUUUUGAUUUUUAACCCAAGAAAAUGCCAAGAAAGGGGUCAAAGUAGUAAAUUUAAUCUACACUUGCCUACCCAACCACCUCUUAAUUUAAUAUAUUUAAUCGAGAAAAGUAGGUUAGAGGAAGGAUGGUAUCUCCUUUUCCUCUCUCAGUCUUCCAGCAUGCCAUUUAAUCAUGAUUAAGGCUAAAGCUUAAUUAUAGAUCUUGAUUGGAUUAUUAGUUUCCGUUGUAAUAUGGUGGUUAGAAGAUUAAAAAAAUUAUGAUUUAUGCUUUCAUAUGCUAACAAUUAAUGAAGAAUUAACAAAAUUUUAAAUUUUAAAUCUAAAUCCUAACAUAUUUUACCAUAGAAGCUUAAAUCUUAAUUUACUUAUCACAUGGAUUAUUUUAUAACUACCUUACUAUUAAUUCAAUUAAACCUAUUAUUUCUACGAAAACUAAAGAAAAGUUAAAAAAAAACUUUAGUUUUAAUGAAAAAAGAAAAAUGAAUGUGUAGUAAAUAAUACCAGAAAAAAAUAAAAAAAAUAAUUUUUUAUUAAAAAUAAACAGUAUAAAAAAUGUUGCAUUAAUACUCUCAUUAUUUAUUUACAAAUACGUGACUAAAUCACAAAGUGUUAGAAUGAAAGGGAGCGCUCAAAACGAUGAAAAGCAGGAGCACAGAAAGCUAUCUCCGUUUCUUUGUUGAGCGGACAACUGUUUAUUUGUCGUUCUUUUGGCAGAUAGCUCCUAAUGGCCCAUUUCCACAGCUGGUUAUAGGAUUCUGUUGCUAUAUAAGAAGUGUUUUGUUGUAAUUCAAUAUCGAUGGAAAUUCAACAGGAUCUUUUUCAAAAUUUUGUGAGGAUUUUGGGGUGUUCGUGAAUCUUGUUCAUCGUAUAUUGUGUAGUUGUUUUUUAUCGAAUAUUAUUUUUGUUUAAUUUUAAAUAAAGUAAUUUAAAAUAAUUUUUUACUGCAAGAUGUAUGAUGAACGUAUAUGAUUCACAGAUCUCCAAAAUCCUCACAAAGAAAAUCCAAAAAUGAUCUGAAUUCAAUGGAGAUAAGUUAAUUUUGAAUCAAAUAACAUUAGGAAAGAAAAAUAACAUUAGACGCCAGUCGGGCGAAGGAUUGGAGCCUAGUGCCUAGGCAGCUAGGCGAAGCCUGGGCGAUUAGGCGGCUAGGCGGCCUAGACGGUUUUAAAUAAUUUAUUGUAUAUUUGUAUAAAAUUAUUAUUAGCACUUCAAAAAUCUCAUUUUAUACUCCAAAUUUUCUAUAUUAAAAAAGAAAAAUACACUUAUGAUGAGUGUAGAAUGAGAUUUUUGAAAUGCCAAUACACUUCUCUAUUUUUAUUAUAUAAAUCAGUUGGACUUAAAAAAGAAAAUAAAGAAAAUAAAACAUUGUUCAAAAACUAAAACUCUAUAAAUAUAAAAAGUCAGGUCUUGAUUUAUCAUUACAAUUGAUAAAUAAAGGAGUGUGCUAUCUACACAACUUUUUUUACUUCUCACUCCUAAAUAAAAAAAUGAUGUGUGGAUAUCACAUCCCUAAAUAAAAUAUAUAAAUAUAGAUAGUUGGAGGAUAUCCAAGAGACAUUCUUUGGAGGAUUUUAGAGAAGAAAGGAGUACGAGUAUAUAUCCAAGCUAUAAAGGAUAUGUAUGAAGGAGCAAAGACUGCCGUAAGAACUCAUGAAGGACAAACCGAAAGCUUUCCCAUAACUGUAGGAUUACAUCAAGGCUCAUCCUUAAGUCCUUACCUUUUUGCGUUGGUAAUGGAUAAGUUAACAGGACAUAUUCAAGAUGAUAUUCCUUGGUGUAUGCUUUUCGCAGACGAUAUAGUGUUGAUAGAUGAAACUCAGGAAGGGGUAAAUGCAAAGCUUAACCUUUGAAGAGAAGUGUUGGAAUCUAAAGGUCUUCGCCUAAGCCGAUCAAAGACAGAAUAUAUGGAGUGCAAGUUCAGUACAAAUGAAGGCCAAAACGAGUUAGGGGUGAGGAUCGGAGAUCAAGAAAUACCAAAGAGCAACCGUUUUCGUUACCUAUGAUCUAUCUUGCAAAAGAACGGAGAAUUAGAUGGAGAUCUCAAUCAUAGAAUGCAAGCUGGAUGGGUGAAGUGGAAGAGUGCAUCCGGCGUGUUGUGUGACCGCCGUAUGCCACUGAAGCUCAAGGGAAAAUUUUAUAGGACGGCAAUAAGGCCGGUGAUGCUGUAUGGCACAGAAUGUUGGGCAGUGAAGCAUCAACACGUACACAAAAUGGGUGUAGCGAAGAUGAGGAUGCUUCGUUGGAUGUGUGGGCACACGAGAAAGGAUAAGAUUAGGAAUGAGGAUCCGGGGUAAAGUAGGAGUAGCCGAAAUUGAAGGAAAGAUGAGAGAAAAUCGGUUACGGUGGUUUGGACAUGUGCAAAGAAGGCCUACUGACGCUCCGAUUAGAAUAUGCGACUAUGGGACAGAGGUUCAGGGCCGAAGGGGUAGAGGAAGACCUAGGAAAACUUUGGAAGAGACUUUAGGAAAAGACUUAGAGUACUUGGAUCUAACGAAGGACAUGACACAGGACCGAGCACAAUGGCGUUCUAAGAUUCAUAUAGCCGAUCCCACUCAGUGACUUGGAUUUUCCAAGUCUCCAACCGAGAAGUUUUCCUCACUCGGGAAAUUAAGGGAACACUACCUCAACCUACAUGCUCCACUCACAAAGCUUCAACAAAAGAAAAUUCAAAGAACUUAGCGAAGAAUGAUUUGGUGUAUUUAACACAAACGUUGAAAUGAAGGAAAGCUUAUUUAUUGAUAUUCCCGAUAAGCUACAAAUAUGUACAUAUACAUAAGGUUGCUUAGGAGAAGUCUCAGCAGCCGGUAGAGCCCCAGAAAGAGAAGGCACCAGAGGGGGAUCAUUCGGAGCCUCAGAACUGGACAGAACCCUAGAAGGAUGAGGCAUCAAAGGUUGAUCAUUUGGAGCUUCAUUACGCGGUACAGCCCCAGAAGAUGAAGGCAAUAAAUGCCUUUGGAACAAACCCACAAAUCUCUGAUGAUCAAGUAAAACCUGACCAUCAGAUUCCUUCAUCUGGUCAAGCUUCCUCUUCAUGUUUGUAGCAUAGUCAUGUGCGAGCCGGUGCAACUGUUUAUUCUCAUGCUUGAGCCAUCUAAUCUCCUGUUUGAGACUCAUCACUUUAGCCGCCAAUGAUUCAACUUGGCGGGUUCAAGCAAAUAGGCGUUGGGCCGUAUUAGACACAGAACCUGCACACUGAACACUGAGAGCCAGCGAAUCCUUAACAGCUAACUCAUCAGACCGUUUGGAAAGUAGUUUGUUAUCUUUGGGAGUGAGAAGGUUCCUGGCCAUCACCGCAGCGGUCAUAUCAUUCUUCAUUACGAAAUCCCCAACGGUAAGAGGACCAGUAGGGGAGACGAAGGAUGUGCGCCAUAUGUUGUCUGGAGAAGGCGGGGCUGCCUCUUUAACAAGGUUCAAGUCAAAACGACGGUCGGAGGGGCCAGACAUUUUCAAAGGUGUUGAAGAGAGAAGAUGUCGGAUAAAUCAAGAUCUUAGAAGUGCAAGAAUGGAGCUUCUACUGGUGGAUUUCAAGUGUGCUUUAGAACUUAAUGACAGCCCCUAUAAAAAUCUGCACUCGACGGAGCUUCAGAAAUCGAAGAGGCGUUUGCUUUCUCAAAAGUUGGGCUGCUCAAAGACCACGAAGGCCAAUCUCAGAAAUCGAAGAGGCGCUCGCUUUCUCAAAAGCUGGGCUACUCAGAGACCACGAGGGCCGAUCUCAGAAAUCGAAGAGGCACCUACUUUUCCAGCCUUGUCAGCACCUGUCACACGCACACUCAGCUUUGCGGAAAUUAUGGGCAUUCUGUCGAAGACUUCUGGUGAAGUAAAAAGCACAUGAAUCUUACUGUUCAAUCACCCACUUCCCACACGCAACAAUAGCUCAUGGGUACCACAGAUAACUUUGCCAAAGUUGAGCACGUGAAGCUUGCAGCUCCUACUACAUCGCUCUGACCAAGAAGGGUAAAAGAAUAGCAAAGAAACAGCACUAACAAAGUUUAGACCCAUAAAUUUUGAAGGUCUAGCUACCAUAUUAUUACCCACAAGGGUAAAGGAACAGUACCACUGCUGGAUAAUUGGAAAGUCCCUGUGUGUCAACCUCUGUGCUUCGUGGCAAGGUAGACUAGCAAACAUGCCCAACCUUUACUCACAUUCGAGAAAACACUCCCAAUAAGAUUGCUUGCUCCAAAAUCGAAGAGGCACCGUCCUCCGAAUCUCGAGAGCCAGACUCCCAACAUGAAUACUUUCUCAAAAAAAUCGAAGAGAGGGUAAAGGAACAGUACCAUUGCUGGAUAAUUGGAAAGUCCCUGUGUGUCAACCUCUGUGCUUCGUGGCAAGGUAGACUAGCAAACAUGCCCAACCUUUACUCACAUUCGAGAAAACACUCCCAACAAGAUUGCUUGCUCCAAAAUCGAAGAGGCACCGCCCUCCGAAUCUCGAGAGCCAGACUCCCAACAUGAUUACUUUCUCAAAAAUCGAAGAGACACUGCUAUCCCGAAUCUCGAGAGCCAGACCCCCAGCAUGAUUGCUUUCUCAAAAAUCGAAGAGGCAUCGUUCUCCGAAUCAAUCGAAGAGGCGCUCGCUUUCUCAAAAGCUGGUGGGCUGCUCAGAGACCACGAGGGCCGAUCUCAGAAAUCGAAGAGGCACCUACUUUUCUAGCCUUGUCAGCACCUGUCACACGCACACUCAGCUUUGCAGAAAUUAUGGGCAUUCUGUCGAAGACUUCUGGUGAAGUAGAAAGCACAUGAAUCUUACUGUUCAAUCACCCACUUCCCCACACGCAACAAUAGCUCAUGGGUACCACAGAUAACUUUGCCAAAGUUCUCUGCCAAAGUUGAGCACGUGAAGCUUGCAGCUCCCACUACAUCGCUCUGACCAAGAAAGGUAAAAGAAUAGCAAAGAAACAGCACUAACAAAGUUUAGACACAUAAAUUUUGAAGGUCUAGCUACCAUAUUAUUACCCACAAGGGUAAAGGAACAGUACCACUGCUGGAUAAUUGGAAAGUCCCUGUGUGUCAACCUCUGUGCUUCGUGGCAAGGUAGACUAGCAAACAUGCCCAACCUUUACUCACAUUCGAGAAAAACACUCCCAACAAGAUUGCUUGCUCCAAAAUCGAAGAGGCACCGUCCUCCGAAUCUCGAGAGCCAGACUCCCAACAUGACUACUUUCUCAAAAAUCGAAAAGGGUAAAGGAACAGUACCAUUGCUGGAUAAUUGGAAAGUCCCUGUGUGUCAACCUUUGUGCUUCGUGGCAAGGUAGACUAGCAAACAUGCCCAACCUUUACUCACAUUCGAGAAAACACUCCCAACAAGAUUGCUUGCUCCAAAAUCGAAGAGGCACCGCCCUCCGAAUCUCGAGAGCCAGACUCCCAACAUGAUUACUUUCUCAAAAAUCGAAGAGACACCGCUCUCCGAAUCUCGAGAGCCAGACCCCCAGCAUGAUUGCUUUCUAAAAAAUCGAAGAGGCAUCAUUCUCCGAAUCUCGAGAGCCAGAUCAUCAAUAGGAUUGCUUGUUCGAAAACCGAAGAGGCACCACUUUCCCAACUUCAAGAGCCGGAUCUCCUUGGAUAAAGCUUGUCUAUAAUCUUCACACGGAACAUCAGCUUUCCAGAUACCACAGACCACUUUUUCAAAGUGCUCUGACAGAGUUAAAACAUGUGAAGCUGGCAGGUCCCACUACCGUGCUAUGACUAAGCAGGGUAAAGGAAUAGCAUUACUACUUGUUGUUAGGGAGACUCCUAUAUAUGUCGACCUCCAUCCCCAACGACAGGCAGACCUGCAAAAAUGCUCAACCCUUCCUCAUAUCUGAGAGGCCACUCCCAACGAAGCCUUUCAAAAUAUUCAGCUUUCUUCCCCCUCCCCGAUAAUACCUCUGCAAACAAGCUAUACUAGAGCAAGAAUAUCUCAUAUCAUCAGGGUUAAAAGCAAGAGUAUCCCAUAUCAUGCUUUUUCCCUGUCUUUUCCUUUGGCCUUGUUUUUACCUGCAAGACAAGGAGAAAGAGAGCAAUCAGUCAGCACUUGGAAUCAAGCUUCCAGCCAGGAACUGACUGCCUGGAACCCCUUACCUGAUUACUUACCUGGCAUUGCUCUCGAGUACUCAUCUUCAACAUCUUAUGUUUCCAGGGAAGAUUACCGCAUCUGCCUUGAGGAACAGAUAGGGCAAGUGCGAAGGAUACAAGGAAGCAUGUGGAGACAAGCGUAACAGCACACGUGCCGAUACAUCCAUUACUCUGUCAAAAGCAAAAGUAUCCCAUAUCAGCAGGGUCGAACGUACUCUAGAUUUGAUGGACUUGUUUUGACCCUCAAAUUCUUCAGUCGGCCUUAUACUCUGGAGGAAACCAGAAAACCCUCCAGCUCAGUUCAAGAAUAAGCCUGUGGAAAGUUACUUCUUCAAAAGCAAAAGUAUCUCAUAUCAUCUCUUCUCAUUUUUCUUCUCUUUAUCCUUCAUGCUGCCUGCAAGAUGGGGAGAAGGUGAACAAUCAGCCGGAGCUCUGAUUGCUUACCUUGUCUGUCACCUCUUUCAGCAGAUCCCCUAGCUCGGCGACUUGGGGGACUCCUACUACAUGGUUUGUAUCGCGCUUGACCAAGCCUGAAACUACAAGUAAGCUUCAAGUGAAAUUGAUACAUUACCUUGUGCAUCUCCACCAGUUAAAGAUACCACCCCUGGAUGGAGGAAGAGUACUUCCAGAGAAGAUGCCACAUCUACCUAUGAGACAGAUAAGGCAAGUCAAGACGAUACCACACUCCGAUACUUAGAAGUUUCGUGAUUACGAGAUCAUUCUCCCACAAUAUUUCCUAAUGUCAUUUGUACUAAAUCAUUCACUUGUACUCACUAAAGGAGAGCUUGAACCUAUGUACUUGUGUAAACCCUUCACAAUUAAUGAGAACUCCUCUAUUCCGUGGACGUAGCCAAUCUGGGUGAACCACGUACAUCUUGUGUUUGCUUUCCUAUCUCUAUCCAUUUAUAUACUUAUCCACACUAAUGACCGGAGCAAUCUAGCGAAGAUCACAAAAAGCAACCGUUUUCGCUACCUAGGAUCUAUCUUGCAAGAGAACGGAGAAUUAGAUGGAGAUCUCAACCAUAGAAUACAAGCUGGAUGGAUGAAGUGUAAGAGUGCAUCCGGCGUGUUGUGCGACCGUCGUAGGCCACUGAAGCUCAAGGCAAAAUUUUAUAGGACGGCAAUAAGGCCAGCGAUGUUGUAUGGCACAGAAUGUUGGGCGGUGAAGCAUCAACACGUACACAAAAUAGGUGUAGCGGAGAUGAGGAUGCUUCGUGGGAUGUGUGGGCACACGAGAAAGGAUAAGAUUGGGAAUGAGGAUAUCCGAGGUAAAGUAGGAGUAGCCGAAAUUGAAGUAAAGAUGAGAGAAAAUCGGUUCCGGUGAUUUGGACAUGUGCAAAGAAGGCCUACUGACGCUCCGGUUCGAAGAUGUGACUACGGAACAGAGGUUCAGGGCCGAAGGGGUAGAGGAAGACCUAGGAAAACUUUGGAAGAGACUCUAAGAAAAUACUUAGAGUACUUGGAUCUAACGGAGAACAUAACACAAAACCGAGCGCAAUGGCGUUCUAGGAUUCAUAUAGCCGACCCCACUUAGUUGGAAAAUGCUUUGUUGUUGUUGUUGUUGUUGUAUAGAUAGUUGGCGCUUUGUAGUGGGCGGUAAGUUCUAGUUUUACCAUUAAAAAAUAUACACUGUCAAACUAGUGUGGGUUCUAUCAAUUUUUUUAGUAUUUUAUUUAUUUUUUCACUCUGUCUCCGUGCCAUGGUCUUGAUAUUAUCACUCCUUUAAUAUUUUAUUCAUAUUUUAUUCUACUUGAUUUAUGAUGGUGUGUUUUUUUGACCAAGGUUUAUAAUGGUGUUUGUUCUAUAAGUCGGCAUAUUUGCCAACCGCAAUCGAUACUGUCGUUCUCAAACACAAAGCAAUAGUUUGCUACCGAAAACAACCAAAGUGUGACAAAGGGAACCGUCUUACACCUAACCUGUUUUUCCCUCAUCAAAUGAGCGCGUUGAUCUGCAGGUAUUUUCUGCCAUCUCAAAACCUGUUACAAAGAAAUAUAACGUUGAUGUCGAGCUGGAUAGCAUAUUAUACCAAUUAUGUGUACAAACCUAUUGAAAUAAAGUAGCUGUAGUUGCAUAUUACGACAGAUAUUAACGAAAACAAAAGAAGGCUCGCCUAUUCAAGAUCCUAAAUCCCGUGAUUCUUUUGUUUUUAGUUUCAGAAAUUUUCAGAGCACAAACUGGAAAGUACCAAGAUACUUACAUAUUGGGCAUAAUGAAAUGCAUCUUCAUCUUUCAAGCAAGAUUUGAGUGAGCGCAAACCGUCCUGAGAGUUACAUAAGUCAAUCAGUAAUAUAAAAACGUAUACGCAUCACAUCCAAACACAAGUAUUCAAACACCAACAACUUCUUCAUGCGGUGAGGCAUGUUAAAAAAUAGGGAAGAACAGUUAUUGAAUAGGAAGUUAAAGGACUAAAUUUAUGACCUUGUGUUUGUAGUUCUUGGCUCGUAUGCGUUCAUCUAUUACAAAACCAAUCUGUAACAGGUACAACAGAAAAUAUAAGCAGUAGUCAGAACAUUAAUCUUCGGCAUUCACAUUGCCACCAAUCCAAAGUUAAAAGUCUGAAGGCAAAACAGUAUGAUUCUUAUCUCUCAAACAAAAAUGAAACUAUACCCCGGUCUCAGACAUAAAUGAAAUAAGUUCUACUGCCUCAACUGAGUACUGUGAUUAUAUAUAAAUCCAAUUCACCUUGUCAAGUAAUCUCUUAGGAUCUUGAAAUGCUUCCUUCUUAGCCCAGUCAUUAAAUACAUGCGAGAAAAUUGAUCUCUCAUCCACACUGAAUCUAUUGCACAGUGACAGAAGAAUAAAGUUAAACAUGAACAUAACCAACCAAAAAUGCUAGUUAUAAUAGUACACCCAUAAUUGCAAGCAAAACCUUUUUAAGAAGCCAUUUCCAUGGUUUUCCUCCCCAAAUUCCAUCAAUUCUGCAGAGGCAACGUCAAAUUUACUAUGAUGGAGAUCAUUUUGCACUGUAAUAACUUCAGAAGGUAGGAGAUUUGGUUUCAGAUCAUCUGUUGACGGAGUAGUUUCUUUUGAAGUGUCAUGAUGCUUUGAUUGCAAGCCUUCUGUACUUACGUCAGCCUACAAAACAAAAAUUGCAUUCAUCCACACUAGACUUAAUAAGAUUAGAAACACUUCAGAUUCUUCAUUAUUUGUAUUUUUGACUAAACAGCAGAACAACUGAGGAUAAUGAACAGUAAUACACACCUGGACUUCUCGUAGAUGAUUUGGAAUUUCUUUCAGAAAUCGCGAAGGUUGAAGCAUCUGAAGGAGUCACCUUCUCAGUCAGAGCAACAACAACAAAUAAGGAGGACAGGAAUUCAAGCUAAAACGAACCUGCCAACUGGAAUCCAUCGUAACAUAAAGAAUGAAAAGCUUUUUUCGAGCACGAGUCAUUGCAACAUAUAAUAGGCGUCUCUCCUCCUAUGAUUAGAGUGGGAUUAUUGAGUUAUUGAUCAAAAGAAAAAAGAGUGGGAUUAUUGUGAAAAACAUGUCAAAGCUCUGCAUAUAACUGAAAAAUGUUGAACAAUUUACCACACACCUCAAUGGAGGUCCCAUUUUCUUUUGCAACCCCAUUGAAUUCAUGCAACAACGGGAUCUCAGAUUCAUUUACCUGUGUUAUUGGCAUGAGCAUUAAAGCAAGCUAAGAUGAUUUGAAGAGGUUGAUAUCGUCAUGAAUAUAGUAGAACAGAGAAUACCAAUUUCAAGCCAUCAAUUAGGUAUAGCAUUGGCAUGUUUAAUCCGUAAAAUCUAAUGACAGAACACCUCAACUCUACACAUAAAUAAAUAAACAACCUGAAAAAUAUUACAGCCACAUGUUAAGGCAAAUACCUUAAUUAUGAAAACUAUAUCCCACUCUAAACCUUUUGACUGCAAGAGAAUGAAAAAGAAAGACAGUAAGCCAAGAAUGUUUUGUAGAACUCCAAAGGAAGUCCAAUAGGGAAAUCAUCGCAAGUAUAAGAGUUAGCGAGGUUCGCAUAAGAGGAUAUCAAAAAGAUCUAGAACCUGAUGAAUAGUAGUCAAAGUGACAGAACUUUGGUUGUCAUGUCUUCGGGAGUGAAAAUUUUCACUCUCCUGCUCAGAUAUGUAGUCGAUGAAAGCUUUGAGUAAAUUAACGCAGCCUUUUUCUUCUGCUACGACUUCUCUCUCUCCCCUUUUCCCGCAACAAAAUGAGUUGAUAAGAAAUCAGAUACGUCGUCUAGUAGGUACUGAAGAACCUGCAAUGAGAAUAAUCGCAUCACAGCAACAGGGUUGGACCAAGAUUUAAGUGACAACAAUGAUUAACUAACUAAAAUAGAGAAAUUAUUCAUUUAAGACCUUGUUGACGGAAAAAAGGGUUUUCCAAGCAGCGGGUCAUUUAAGCUUAUUGUAUAAAUGACAAUCAUCACAAACGGCAAACUUACAGAUCUCACGUCAUUGUCUUCAUUCAGCAGUUUUCCUCCAUCUACAUCAACGACUGCACGUUGCUCAAGACGGUACUUCUAAAAAUUGAAAGUCAACAACAACAACAACAACAACAAAGCCUUUUCCCACUAAGUGGGGUCGGCUAUAUGAAUCCUAGAACGCCAUUGCGCUCGGUUUUGUGUCAUGUCCUCCGUUAGAUCCAAGUACUCUAAGUCUUUUCUUAGAGUCUCUUCCAAAGUUGUCCUAGGUCUUCCUCUACCCCUUCGGCCCUGAACCUCUGUCCCGUAGUCACAUCUUCGAACCGGAGCGUUAGUCGGCCUUCUUUGCACAUGUUCAAAAUCACCGGAGCCGAUUUUCUCUCAUAUUUCCUACAAUUUCGGCUACUCCUACUUUACCUCGGAUAUCCUCAUUCCCAAUCUUAUCCUUUCUCGUGUGCCCACACAUCCCACGAAGCAUCCUCAUCUCCGCUACACCCAUUUUGUGUACGUGUUGAUGCUUCACCACCCAACAUUCUGUGCCAUACAACAUCGCUAGCCUUAUUGCCGUCCUAUAAAAUUUUCCCUUGAGCUUCAGUGGCCUACGACGGUCACACAACACGCCGGAUGCACUCUUUCCAUCCAGCUCGUAUUCUAUGGUUGAGAUCUCCAUCUAAUUCUCCGUUCUCUUGCAAGAUAGAUCCUAGGUAGCGAAAACGAUCGCUUUUUGUGAUCUUCGCUAGAUUGCUCCGGUCAUUAGUGUGGAUAAGUAUAUAAAUGGAUAGAGAUAGGAAAGCAAACACAAGAUGUACGUGGUUCACCCAGAUUGGCUACGUCCACGGAAUAGAAGAGUUCUCAUUAAUUGUGAAGGGUUUACACAAGUACAUAGGUUCAAGCUUUCAUUUAGUGAGUACAAGUGAAUGAUUUAGUACAAAUGACAUUAGGAAAUAUUGUGGGAGAAUGAUCUCGUAAUCACGAAACUUCUAAGUAUCGGAGUGUGGUGUCGUCUUGACUUGCCUUAUCUGUCUCAUAGGUAGAUGUGGCAUCUUCUCUGGAAGUACUCUUCCUCAAACGAUAAAUUAUUACGAAGCAUUGAAUAUAAGCAUGAAACGAAGAAAAUGUUAUGGAAUGGUGAUCCUCAUCCUCAAAGAUGAUUAAAAGCAAUUUGAUUCAAAAAUGACAUAUCAACUCUGGAGAAAUGGAAGACAAACCUGUGGUACCAUAUUCGCAACUGAGGUUAUGACAGCUGAAAUCGAUUGUUCCUGUGUGCAUUGAUAAGUGAGACUACCAUAGAGAUUCACAACUAAAUAAAGACAGGUAUUCCACAGAACAACCUUUACCUCUUUGGAAACACAGAUCUAACAAAAACUAUAACAUUUUGGAUUAAUAUUGACGAAUCAAGAAUAAUGCAAGGGAGCAAGAGAUACUCUUCCUUCUAAUAACAAGGAGGCGUGAAAAGUAUACAGAGUUCCAACAAUUAGAGAACUAAAAUCAAACUAAAAAAAUCACCAAAGUAGACAGAAUCUCACUUCGCCAAAAAUUUGAAAAUAUAUCCUUUUUAUCCAUUGAGAUUCAUGAACUACUACUACUACUACAUCAUGCCAAUAAGCAAUGCGUAAGAGGUGCUACAAUUUACCGAAUAUAUUUACCCUGAGAACAAGUUUUGAAAUCAUCUCUAGUGUUAACAGCACCUUGCGUCCUUGGGUAAGCUGAGUCCUAUUAUCAAGUAAAGAGACCAAUCAGUACAUAUCCAAAAGAUCUUAAAUGCUUGUAAUACCAAAUAAGAAAGAAACAUGAGUAUAUCUUGAAUUAACCAUGUAAAAAUGUAAUGUUAAAGCAUCUUGUCAUACAGACCUCUUCAAGGUACCAGAAAUUUUUGCACUAAAGAUGUCACAAGCAGCUGAUAUGAAGCUGCAUUUUCUGUGAGUUGAAAUUUUGUCAAUAUAAUCGAUCACCUGAAGAGAGAGAGAGAGAAAAAGACAGUGAUAUCCAGAGAUGUGAGCCUAAAUGCUGAGUGUGUAAAAAAAGAAGAUUAAAUGGAUAGCAAGAAUAUACAACUUUAAUGCUGAAAAGAACAUUGAAUAUGAUGCUCAUUCAUCAUUCCCAUUGAACGUGUACCUUCUUCUUUUCCUCUUUCUCAAAAGCAAGUAGAGCCUUGAAGACUUGCCUAUAUGAUCCAUCAUCACAACCAGGCAAAGUUGUUUUAAUCAUAGCAACAAUGGCUCUAACUACCUGCCAUAAGAAACAUGCUACAUCAACAAGAUCACAGAGUGUACCAGAAACCGUAAUGUAGCAAAAUCUUGGAUAAAAUAGCUGACCAAAAGGGAAUGGAAAAGCAAGCACGAAAAACAAUGAAAAGGACCAGUGAUGCCAAAAUUCUGGUGGAAAAGGUGAAAAGCUUCUGCCUAUUACAAUUUUUGUAUGCAUUCUUUAUAACUUAAGUUCUACUAGCAAAAACCACCUUAUGCAAAAUAAUAUUGGAAAAAUUAGAUACAUACAACUGAGAAGAUAGGUUUUCAUAAUCUGGACAAGUGCUAACUACCUUCUUCCUAUAAACUGCCACUCCAUGAACAUUAAAUGGUAUUUUCCUUUCACGCAAGGCUGUCUGGAAGACUUUUCCUGAUACCUGUAGCAUAAAAUACAAAAGAAAAUGUGACCAAAAUGUCUUAUAUGAUUCACCUCAUUCACAUUAGCACUAAGGCAAGUAAGCUUGACCUGCCUCCGGUAAAGGAUUGCUAUAUUUCCAUAGGAGCACCCUGCUUCUGACCGUUUCGAUGCAGUCUCCAGGAUCUUGUCGACAACAAAGGCGCAUUGUGCAUCCUCAUUGUGACUUUCCUUGAUAAUUACCUACAUUUUGCCAGUAAAACCAGUGUCACUAACUAAAAGGACUGAAAAAUGACAUCAAAUUGUACUUGUUGGAGCAAGGAAAGAUUAAGUACCUUAGACCCAGAAGAAUUGUCCGUGUCAACAUUCUUUAGUUGGCAUCGCUUCUUAUUGUUUUUUAUAACAGAAGAUGCAGCUUCCACAAUAUAGCGUGUGGACCUAAAGUUUUUAUUAAGCCUAAUCUGAACCAUAAAGUUAUGUCAAAUCCCACAGAAACCCAUAAAAUAAAACUUACUUUCCUGUAAUUGUACAAUAUAUUUGUUCUAUACUAUAUAUAAUGAAAAAAGACACUGUGAAUGACAUAAGAUAACAUAGCAGUCAAGUGCGAAGCGAACCUCUUUGUAAUUUGAAAAAUCUUUACGAAAAGAAUCAAAUCCAGAAAUGUCCGCCCCAUUGAAACUGAAAAUGGACUGCAGCAGGAUAUAUGUUAUUUGAUUUAGAACAGAUAAGGGCUGGAUUAGAAUGAGCUGAGAGAGAGAGAGAGAGAGGGAGAGAGGGAGAGAGGGAGCAAUAACAUUGGAUUUCCAUAAUAAAUCAACAACAUGCCUGAUCAUCAUCACCAACAAUGGUUAUGUGGUUAUGAGAGGCGAGAAUCCGCAAAAGACUAUAUUGCAUAGCACUUGUGUCUUGAAACUCGUCUAUUACAAUAGCUUUCCAUGACUCCUGGCACUCCUUCAACACUAAUUAAGAGAACACCAUGUAUCAACAUUUAGCAUUACUUGUAAAACUAGAUAAAUCAAUGAAAUAUACUUAGAUGAUAGAGACCUUCAGGAAAAUCACUUAGCAGCUUCACAGAGCAGCUAAUUAAGUCGUGGUAGUCCAAAGCGUUGCACGAUUUCAAGAUAUCAUUGUAAUUCCUAAGAAUUUCACCCUGAUUCAGAUUGAGAGCUAAAACUCAUAAGCAAUAGUUUCAAAGAACUGAAAUGAUAUCUGAAAUUCUAGUUCUGAGCGUACUCCUGUCACAUCACCCAUUCUUCGGCAUUCAGCGGGAGUCUUUCCAGAAGCUUUUGCCUGAAACAUAAAUAAAUUUACUGCCUAAUGCCACAUAUUGUAAGACACACCAUUGUAUUGGUCAUUCUAGCUUGAUUGUAGCUAAUAUUUUUUAAAUCGAAUGAUUAGAGUUCUUAAUCCACAAUAAUCUGAACAUUAAAUUUGGUAUUCAAGACUAACCUGUGUCACAAACUUCAGCCAUUUCUUUGAUGCAUCCUUAAAAUGAUGUGGAGAUGUUACGCCGUCAGACUCUUCCCCAUCUAUAGCAACAUUAAGAUUCGUUUUACUCUUUUCAUCUUCUGAUAACCGCACAGCUUCAAUGAUUGCUCUUCUCUGUUGCCCAUGUCCAUAUAUCAAAAAUUCUGGUCUGCGCUUGAGUCUAAAACACAAGCCAACAUAACAGACUCAGCUAUACCACCAAAUGUAUGGUGUUCAAAAUCAAGGGAGGUGAAUCAAUAGCUUACUUCUCAGCAUGUGAUCGGCAAAGUUGCAAUGAAAAUGAAUGAAAUGUACUGAUUGUUAGUAGUUUUGCCGUUGCUUUCCCAGUCACAGAUCCAAUUCGAUCUCUCAUCUCGGAAGCUGCUGCUGUAGUGAAAGUCAUUGCUAGAAUGUUCGACGUGCUAAUGCCCUAAGAACACAAAAAAAAAAAAAAAACGAAUAAGAUUUCGAUCAUAAACAAGAAAUGUAGAGAAACACACAAUUACGAAAGAAAAAGUUAGAGGGAAAGUAGCAACACCUCAUUGAGCAGCAUUAGAACGCGCCCAACUAUCGUUGAAGUCUUUCCACUUCCAGGGCCGGCAACAAUCAUCAAAGGUACUGAAAUAUAGCUGCAAGCUGCCUCACGCUGCCUUUCGUUGAGAGAAAGCAAAUACUUCAAAUACUCAUCCGGCAUGUUAGGCAAUCCAUGGUUAACAGAAUCUGUUUGGUUUUCACUACUCAAAGGCGGCGCUGAUGGCACUAACGUGUUAUGACCCAAAUUAUUACUGAGGUUUUAUGCUUUAUUACUGUGAGGAAUUGUUAAUAUACCAGCUGGCAUUUAAAAGUGUAGAGGUUUUAUAAAAGGAGCCCCAGCUCCCCCAAAUGUAUCAGAUCAGAAUUUUACAAAAGAAAUCAAUAUUGGAGCUCUGCUCCUUCUUCUCUCCUUCCCUCUUCUUCCAUAGCUUUCUUGUGCCACUUACAGGUUGAUUAAGGGAAUUGAGAAUUAGAUCUUAUCAAUGGUAUCAUCCUUCUCGAAUCCUGGUUUCCCUCCUGUGCACACCCACCCACCUACGUUUUCUGCCAUGGUUGCUGCGCCCAAGGAUUCGCUUCGCGAGACCCUGGAUGCUCUAUUCGCACCCUACCUGGCUAAGAUCCGCCGUGCCCGUGAGUUGGCUCUCAGCGCUGAGGGAGACUCCACUCCAACCCUUAUGUUCGCUAUCAGUGAUGGGGGAGUUCCUGAUCCAGCCCCGAUGAUUGCCGAUGACGCUGCAGGAAUCGAUCUCGGUCAGAAAAUAAUUCCACGAGUCGCUGCAUCAACUAAUCAGAUUCUGCCGUUGCUCUCGUCAUCGCCGUUAUUGCGAGCACUAGCAAAUCCUCCUGUCAGGCCACCGUCGAACUCAAACGCUUCAUUGGCAAAUUCGCCCAGCCAGCCGCUACACUCAAAUGAUAUUGUAGCAGCCACAAUUCCAUUGCGGAAUGUUGAGAAAACCAGGCCCGUUGCGAUUGUGACCACAAUGCCGCUAUUUCCGAUUUCAGCAACCUUUAGCACUGAAUCAGCCCACGCUCACAAUCACAACCUCGUUUUGAGCACCAAGGAAGCUACAACAAUGGCGCAUGUUCUGGGUUUUCCUCUCAAGAAAGCAGGAGCUACUAAAUCUGUAGGUAUAUCUCAUACAAACACCACGAAGCGUCGACACGAGGUAUUGACAUCCUUGCUUUCCAAUUCUACAAAUCGGAAGGACAAAUGGUAUUGGGUUUUGCAGGUUAUUUUGGCAUAUUAUACUGGUGUUAUUGUGAUAAUGUAUGACGACUUCUUAACUGAUAAAUGUGGAUGGGGUAAUUGGUACCUUGUGGGACAAUUUGUGUUACACGCGCCCCUAAUUUAAAUCGUAUUUUUACUAAAUUUGAGUUUAUCUUGCUUUUAAAAUUAUUUUUGGGUUUUAAAUGGUGUGCCCAAGGCCCACCCCCUGUUUUGUCCCCCGUUCCCUUUCCCUUUCUUUUAUUUAUUUUCUUCUUUCUUCUUCUUCUUCUUCUUCUUUUCUGUUUCUUUUUCUUUCUUUUCCGUCUGUCCCUCUCGGCUCUCUCUGCGCCCUCUCUUCUCUGCACCGCAACAAGCACACGCACGCACCCAUUGCACCUGCGCGAGGAAGACCAUCAUCAUCUCGUCCUGCUCUCUCUCCCUCUCGUGUUUGCGAACCCAGAAAAUCGGAAAGGAUCUUCCGCGAGAUUUUUAUAUUUUCCGGUUAGGUAAGCCUCAAAUCCCUCUCUUUCGUCCUAGAAUCUUUUGAGAAUGGGUUCUAAUUGGUUUUAUUUCGUGAUUUUUGGAGGUUUUAGGAUGAAAACAAACUCGGGUGCAGGAACACCCAUUUCCGGCGAGGAACCCGCCACUUUCGAGUUAAUCUCCGGCCAAACCACGGCGAGUUGGCCGGCGUGCAAGGUAUCAAUCUCUUCGUCUCGUCGAUUACUACAACUUUCCUUUUUGUUUCACCCAAUUUCGUUGAGUAUUGAAGAAGUUAUACUCAUUUGAAUCUUACCCAGUUUCCGGCGAGUCCGACGGCUUUCGAGGCGUUUUCCGGUCAAACCACGGCGAAUUAGACGUCGUGUGAGGUACCAUUCUCUUCGUCUCUUCGAGGGCUACAACUUUCGUUUUUGUCUCGCUUGAUUUCGUUGAGUUUUAACAAAGUUAUAGCCAUUUAAAAUUGGGUGGUUUUCCGGCCGAAAUUCCAGCCUUCUUCUUCCUCGGGUCCGGCGACCCAUCAAACUUGGGCCCUUUGGGCCGUUUCUGUUAAGGGCUUUAAGCCCAAACCCUAAACCUUUGGGCUUUAGGACCAAACCCAAGAACCCAAACCCUAUGACCCAAACCCGGAUCCAAGCCCAGACCCGUUUGACCUGGUCCGACCCGGAUCCUGACCCGUUGACUUUGACCGGUCAACGUUGACUUUUCUAGUUGACUUUUCGGGUUUUCGUCCAAGACCUUCCUAGGCUAAUUUCGACGUCCUGGAUCCGUUUUUGAAGUUCGUUUUCCCAAAUUCAAUCGUUUGAGUAGAGUUUGACUAAAUGGAUCAUUUAUGUGCUUAGGUGAAUUUAAUGACGGCGGUUCCGUUAUUCCUAUUUGGUAUGGCGUUGCACCAACGGUGUACGGUGAGUGGACCCCUUCUAAAAUGCAUGUUUUAUAGUAGAAAUGCAUACAUAAAAAGUAUGAUUUGAUGAUUACCUUUUAUGAAACGUUUUGUGAGAUAACAUGCUUAUUGAGGCUACUUUAAAUUAUUACUAUUUUUCCUAUAACCCGUGUUCUUAUAGAAUAUCUGAUGGAUGACGAUAUGAUAUUAGAACAUGUUUAGAACACCUCUUUAUAGUAUAGAUGAUGGAUGACUUUAUACUAUGAAGUUGUUUUUCAAUAUAUAUGUUCAAUGGUUUUGUACUUACCUAGUGGUCAUUUCCGCUACGGGACGUAGGGAUAGAUUCCGGUCAUUCCCGGGCGACGGUUUGGUGUUGGCAUAGGGCCUGGAGUGUGUUUCCUCUGGCUAUUUAGCACAGGGACGGGGAGCCGGCAUGGGGCCUGAAGUGUAUUUUCCUCUGACUGUCUGCUCAGAGACGGGGAGCCGGCAUGGGGCCUGGGGGUUAUCGGACAAUUCACUAGUGAUUAUUAUAUAUAUAAAAGUUAUGAUUUGAGACACUGCACAUCAUGCUAGGUUUCGGAAAACCUAUGUUUAUCAUUAUAUAUGUGUUUUCAUAAAACUUGGGGGUUAGUACGUUGAUAACUGUUUUGUUAUAUUUAUAUCAAAUUGGUCCACUCAUGUUUGUUUUGCGCCCCCUUCAGGAUUUAGGAUCGAGGCGUACAAUCCCGGCAAUCCAGGCACUUCCGCAUCGGUAUCUUCAAGUCCUCUCGGUGUAGAACCCACUUCUGUGUUCAUUCAAUUUUUAUAUUAAUUCUUUUAAUGUUCUAGAUUAGAUGUGUGCUCUGAACACGUUCCUUAAAUGCAUAUUCUUUAUUUAUAUUUAUAAGUUUUAUCUAUCCUUUAUUUUCAGCAAUUGCACUCAAUAAAUGGCUUUCGUCGCCCUCGGGUGUCGGCCAGCACGUGACCAUCCUGAUAUCCUGAGGAUAUCGGGAUCGGGGCGUGUCAGAUUGGUAUCAGAGCGUGGUUUGUUCAGAGCAUACUUAGGAUCCUCUUCUAUUAUCGUAGAGUGUUGGUUUUGACAUCAUUUGGAUGUCCAGACUUCUAGAUUUGGUGCCAUUCGGCGCAGUCGUGCGAAUCUUCCUCUAUUUGAAUUGUCACAUUCGGGUUGAUAUACAAGAAUUUGUGUCGGGAUUGUGCCUCAUCGGUGACGUGUUUGAAUUGUUGGACGACUUUCAGCUUCAGAUUGAUACUCUACGACGUGCAUUCCCUGGGAAUGACGGGCAUAGUCGGUGUUACUUGGAAGCGACGGAUUUUAGAAAUCUCAGCUUAAGGAAGUCUGGUCAAGACCAGCUGUAAAUUCGAAAUGGCGAUGCCACUCUACAACAUGCGUUCCCUAGGAAUUGCGGGCGGAGUCGGCUUUGCAUCGAAAUCUUGGGAAGCGGAAAAAAAAUCUUGGCAGUACGAAUUGACUAAGACCAACUGGAGUUCUGAAGCGGUGUUGUACUCUGCAACAUGCGUUCCUUAGGAAUGGCGGGCAGAGUCGUAUCUCUUUAGAAAUUACUCGAAACUUUCGAAAUGCAGAUUGAAGAAGCGAGUAAGUGCUAGUGGUGACGACGGUUAGUAGGUGGUAGUUGGUGGGAGCAAAAUCAAUGUUCUCGAACUCAUUACCACUGAAGAAAUUUGGGUGAAUCUUUAUAACAGUUCUCUGUGAUUGUUUUAUCGAUUACCUUCUCGUUUAUUCCAACGACGAAGUCAAGUUCACUGACCUUUGAUCGUCAGCUUCACAUCAAAUCCCUCGAGAGUUGACUUCGUCUAGAGAUUAUACUUUUCUUGGGAAACUCCUCGGUAGCAGACGUUAUUCUCAUCAAUUUCGAAAUGGAGUUGCGAUUCUUGUUGUUGUUGUAGUUGAACUUGGAUAAUGAAGAUUCAGCCUUGUUUGGAUAAACAAAUUCCUUGAACUUCACCUGGGUUUGGUACUUGGUAGUAAACCCUAGUUCCUCAUCCGUGUACUUUUCAGUGAAGGUGAACUUAGUCCCUUGCUUGCAACCUAACUGUUCAGCCUUGUAAUUUUCAGCGUAAUGGCUUGAGACUCUAUCAUAUUCAUCAUUGUACGAAGAUCGAGCUUUACUCUGAACUUCUCUGGGCUCGUUAAGCUUUGAUUUGCUCAGAGGCAUCACUUUAAGGUAGCCAAUCGUGUCACUGCAUGCAUACACAAGCUGCUUUGUAUCUUUCUUCUUCGUUAUUCUGCUGAUUCAGAGGUUUUAUGUUUAAUUUCUGAAUUUUUAAAUGACUAUCGCGAAGUACCGUGAAUCUCGAAAUGUCUUUGGCCUCGUCAAAUCUUAUUAAUAGUUCUUGACUAUUCUUGAGAUUAGACUUGUUCCUUUUGGCUAAGAAACCAGUCGACCUUAUUGUGAUGAGUAGCCAAAUAAUCAUAAACAGUAACUUCUAUUUCUGCAUCUUCAUUUUCCUUCGUUUGUUUGUUUGUUUCUCAAUGUGAACUGGAUCAUGCCGGGACAUUACACGAAGGGUGUAAAAAAAAAAAAAAAAAAAAACGUUUGUUCUCGGCGUGGUUUCUAGUUCAAAUCCGGAUAUCUUGUACUCUAUAUUUAAUGGACUUGUUUUGAACCUUAAAUUCCUGAGUGUUCUUUUAGCCUUAUCGACAUGGUUUCUCUCUCAAUUAGUGAGAAAUUCAUGAUCGAUGGUUUCGGCGGAAGUGUGCGCCCAAUUCUUAUCGAUUUGGACAGGAAUGUUGGGAGCAUAAUCUUUUCACAAGCUUACUAGACUUACCAGAAAGAGUUCCACGUGGGUGUGAAGUUUGAGUUGUCUUUUGGUAAGAGACUGGUGAAGAUUGUGGUGCAGAUGAUUAGCAGAUUGUAUCACUAUCUUCACGCUGAAUUGAAUGGUCACCAUUCAUUAUCCUGCUGCAAUUCAUAAUCAUCAUAUCUUACUCUGGUAGACAUUUUUGAUGAUGUGUUCGCCUCAACGCAGCUUUCCACUACCUCUCACCAGGAUCCUUCGGUUCGAGAGCACGUGGGCGUGAGGUUGAGCGGUCUUUUAGUAAGAGUUGGUUGAAGGUUUUAGUUCAGAAGGUCAGCAUAUUGUAUCACCAUCUUACUAGAAUUCAUAGGCAUCACAUCGGUUAUUUUCCAACGAUAUGUGUUCGUGUCAAUGCAUACUUCGACUGCUUCACUUCUGAACCUUAUUCUUGUGAGUAUGUGGAUGUUGAAUCACUUAUAGCAGAUUUGUUUGGUGCACUCUGGAAUGGCACCACAACGUAGUUGAGAUAAGAAUCGGAAGAUCUUUGCACUUUUUGCGAAUGGUGUGUGCUCUCAUGGGGUGUUUAGGUUGAUUGCAUGAGAGUCAUUCUUUCCUCCAACAUUGAUCUUGUUUGACUAGAAAUCUGCAACUAAGCAAAAAUGGAGAGGUGGAUUGAGCACUACAACAGUUCCCAAGAGAUACUGCGUGUUGAGGAAGAUGACUUCUCGUUUUCUGCUUACCUAGUUCGAGCUUUUGGGUCUACUACUAACAUGGUGGCCACUUCUCUUGAAUCCCAAAGUACAGUUUCAAAUGGGUUCUUUGUUGGCAUAACUCUGGAGUAGUUGGUCACAUUUGGAAUAACUGAGGAAGAGGUUGUGCUUGGUACUAAAGGGAGUUAGUAUGACGAUAGUUAUUGGUUUUGUUCGAUUUGGGUAUGGCACUAUUUGCGACAUGGUACGAGAGUUGCUACACGCAACAUUGGUUGAUAGAGGAGACGUGCAAGCUUGUACUUGGAGGAUCGAAUUUUCGACGUGUGAAAUUGUGCACCCUCAGGAAAUUACUGCUUGUUUACUGAGACAACAAAUGUGUGGUCGAUAUCGCGGGCGGCCGACUGUGGUAUCGAUAAUUUAUUUGUUGGGUUCGUUAAGCAAGUGGGGCAGGAAUAUCCUUUUACGGCAGCCGUUAAAGAUUCACUAUUGUUAGAACUGGACCCAAAGACACAUCUAUUUUCGGAGUACGCGACGUUUCGAAUUCUUGGGCAAGACCCACUCUCAUUCUUCAGUUUUGGUUUUCAGUAUAAGUAUUUUAACCUCAUUUACUCUAGUUAAUUGUUUUGCCAUUACAAAUGUUUUUGGAAAAGUAUUUCCGUUUUCAGUUUUUAAGUGUAGCUCGAAUUUUCAACCUAUAUGUUGGUACAUAUCCAUUUUGACGUUAUCGUAUGUUAUGUUCUUACUUUUGACCUUAAUCUAUUUUAUGUUUUCGACUUUAUAUCUUUAUAAAGUAUGUUUUCUACUUUUACACUGAUGGGGAAGAAAGUAAGCUUGGAGGCAUGAUAGAGGAUUUUGCAACCCGCUCGCGACGGUGUGGUAUAUUCUCUUUGAUGCACCCACUCUGACUUGAUUUCUCUUUAUACAUAUAUUCUUCUUACUAUUUUCGUGUAUUUCAGUUUAGUAGGUGAUUUUAAAUUUCGGGGACGAAAUUCUUUUUAAGGGGGGUAGAUUGUUACACCCGCCCCUAAUUUAAAUCGUAUUUUCACUAAGUUUGAGUUUAUCUUGCUUUUAAAAUUGUUUUUGGGUCUUAAAUGGUGUGCCCAAGGGGCCCCACCCCCUGUUUUGUCCCCCGUUCCCUUUCCCUUUCUUUUAUUUAUUUUCUUCUUUCUUCUUCUUCUUCUUCUUCUUUUCUGUUUCUUUUUCUUUCUUUUCCGUCUGUCCCUCUCGGCUCUCUCUGCGCCCUCUCUUCUUUGCACCGCAACAAGCACACGCACGCACCCAUUGCACCUGCGCGAGGAAGACCAUCAUCAUCUCGUCCUGCUCUCUCUCCCUCUCGUGUUUGCGAACCCAGAAAAUCGGAAAGGAUCUCCCGCGAGAUUUUUAUAUUUUCCGGUUAGGUAAGCCUUAAAUCCCUCUCUUUCGUCCUAGAAUCUUUGAGAAUGGGUUCUAAUUGGUUUUAUUUCGUGAUUUUUGGAGGUUUUAGGAUGAAAACAAACUCGGGUGCAUGAACACCCAUUUCCGGCGAGGAACCCGCCACUUUCGAGUUAAUCUCCGGCCAAACCACGGCGAGUUGGCCGGCGUGCAAGGUAUCAAUCUCUUCGUCUCGUCGAUUACUACAACUUUCCUUUUUGUUUCACCCAAUUUCGUUGAGUAUUGAAGAAGUUAUACUCAUUUGAAUCUUACCCAGUUUCCGGCGAGUCCGACGGCUUUCGAGGCUUUUUCCGGUCAAACCACGGCGAAUUAGACGUCGUGUGAGGUACCAUUCUCUUCGUCUCUUCGAGGGCUACAACUUUCGUUUUUGUCUCGCUUGAUUUCGUUGAGUUUUGACAAAGUUAUAGCCAUUUAAAAUUGGGUGGUUUUCCGGCCGAAAUUCCGGCCUUCUUCUUCCUCGGGUCCGGCAACCCAUCAAACUUGGGCCCUUUGGGCCGUUUCUGUUAAGGGCUUUAAGCCCAAACCCUAAACCUUUGGGCUUUAGGACCAAACCCAAGAACCCAAACCCUAUGACCCAAACCCGGAUCCAAGCCCAGACCUGUUUGACCUGGUUCGACCCGGAUCCUGACCCGUUGACUUUGACCGGUCAACGUUGACUUUUCUAGUUGACUUUUCGGGUUUUCGUCCAAGACCUUCCUAGGCUAAUUUCGACGUCCUGGAUCCGUUUUUGAAGUUCGUUUUCCCAAAUUCAAUCGUUUGAGUAGAGUUUGACUAAAUGGAUCAUUUAUGUGCUUAGGUGAAUUUAAUGACGGCGGUUCCGUUAUUCCUAUUUGGUAUGGCGUUGCACCAACGGUGUACGGUGAGUGGACCCCUUCUAAAAUGCAUGUUUUAUAGUAGAAAUGCAUACAUAAAAAGUAUGAUUUGAUGAUUACCUUUUAUGAAACGUUUUGUGAGAUAACAUGCUUAUUGAGGCUACUUUAAAUUAUUACUAUUUUUCCUAUAACCCGUGUUCUUAUAGAAUAUCUGAUGGAUGACGAUAUGAUAUUAGAACAUGUUUAGAAUGUCACAGCCCGUCCCGGGAUUUCUAUAUCGGGGGCGUGAAUUGACGUAACUACCCUUGACGGACAUUCGGGUACGUGUGUGUGCGACAUUAUUGAAUUAAUUUUGUAAGUUUUGGGAUUUUAAUUUUGGAAUUUGGAAAUUUUUGUGGUUAGGGAAUUGGAUGGAUGGUGAGGAUUGUGUUGGACCACACAAUCACACACACACGCACUCCCUGUCUUCUCUCCCUCCCGUAGCUCUCUCUGUCCCUCUCCCUCACGAUCUCUCUCUUUCCCCUCACCCUAUACGUACGGCCUUCACCCAAAACCCUUCAAAACUCGACGGAUCGAGGCAAAUAAGGUAUGCAUCUUCAUCCUUUCGUCGUCCUGAGUUCAUUGGUGCUAGUUUUAGGAAGUGAAACCUUCGAUUUCACAUAGAUCCCGAACCUCCAUUUUUGAGGUACUGUUCAUGCGAACGUAAAAUGUUGUGUUUCAGGAGAUUUCAAGCUUGUGGUGAGCUUUAGGAGGUUCCUAAGGAAGCUCGGGGACGUUCGUUGGAGAGUUUUGGACGUCGGGAUCGUAGGUUUCAAGUUUGGCCGAAUCUUUGGUUUUUCCAAGGUGAGAUUUCGUAGUUUUUAGGCCCUAAAACAAGUCCAACGUGAUUGUACACUCUUAGGGCUUCAAUUUGGUAUAAAAUACGAAGAAAAUGGGUGAAAAACGAAGGAGAAUAGUGAGUUUGAAAAUCGGCCGGAGUUCGGCCGGAGUCCGGCCACCAGAGAACCAGUCCGGCGAGACCUGCGAAGAAGACGACACGUGCGCUGCACGUGCUGCGCGUGGCCAGCGCGUGGACCCGUGCCACGUGUGGCGCGUGGGGGCGCGUGGGGCUUCCAAAAAUUUUUCUAAAAAUUUCUCGACGCUCGUGACGUCGAGUAGGUCGAUGUGGUAUAUUAUUAUACCAAAAUUGAGCAUCGUAUGAGAAGUUAUUUCAAAUUAUUGGUGAUGUGCUUAAAAUUAAUGUUUUUAUAGUUGUUUCGCAUAUAGGUGAGACGUAUCCCGAGGACGACCGCAUCCAGGGACGCCACGGGGGUUACGACGACCCGUCGACUUAUCAGUGAGUGGGCAGUUUUGUUUUCGUAUUACCUAUAUACUACUGUUUUUCCCAGAAAAAUGUUUAUAUGAAAAUAUGUUUUGAAUAUGCCAUGCAUAGAAUUAUUUGAAAAUCAUGAAUUGGUUUAUGAACUAUAUGAUUGAAAUAUGAUGCAUACAUGUUGCAUGGUGCUGUGGAGGCACAGGUAAGUCAGGUGAGUUCAUUUAUUCAUUGAAUUGUUGUUGUUGAGAUGAGUUGAGCUCAUAAUCUGCACCCUAGGUGUUAGUGCUUAUAUUAUUCACCACACCGCACGCUCGUCUUGGAUCCAAGUAGGUGGAUGUCGUACAGACCAUGUGAGGGUUCCGACAUGCUAGUCGUACAGAUCACUAGGCGUGAUUCCGACUAGUGGGUGACCUUAGUUAUGCGCGCUGAUGAUAUGAUGAGAGAAGCACUAGAGCGUAUUUUUACACCUUUCAUCGUAUAGACUACCUUACGUAGUUCCGAGUGAUGUGCAGAGUAGGGCCGUAUAGGUCACUGUGGUGACUCCGGCUUAGUGGGAUUUUUGAGCUAUUGAAUUAAUCGUAUAGGACCAACUGCAGGGUCUCCGAUUGAUUCCUUAUUUCACCUGAUUUAUAUUUUUUAUUUAUGUCAUGGCAUGUUUUCUUGAAAAUGUUAAAGAUUUGAGAUUUAAAUGUUGAGAUUUUAUAUGGUUAUAUAUAUUUCUGGGAAAGUAUACAGGUUUUUACGGCGAGGGGAUAUAACUGUUUUAAUGAAAUGUUUUGGAAAACUAAUUUGUUUUACUGACCCACUCAUUUUGUUUUGCGCCCCUCCAGGUUCUAGUUUAGCGGUGGUUGGCUCACGAGGUCCUUUCCGGCUUUCUGACAGAUUUGGGACAUGUAGGACUCACCUGAGGGUGAUGUAUUCUUAUUUUAGUCCUACUUGACUGCAGUUAACCUAUGCUCUGAACUUAUGUGUUUACUUGUAAACUCGUCCGGUUAUGUCCGUAUGUGGUUAUGUUGAGUUUGGGUUGAAUUUCUGUUGUUAUUACGCUUCCGUGUCGUGCUUAUGGUUACGUCACGCCCACGUGACGGCCAGCACACCUGGAUCCUCCGGAUCAGGGUGUGUCAGUUUGGUAUCAGAGCUUAGGUUGCAGUCCUGUAAAAUUGUUAAUGUCUUAACGAUCUUUUUGAUGUUUUCUGUCAGAAUCAUGCCGCCUCGUAGAGAGCGUAGGGAGUCCCGCCGUACUCCUGAACCUAAUUUCCCAGAUAUUACUCAGUUAGGGGAAGCGAUGGCCCAGGCUUUACAGAAUGUGAUUCGUCCUCCCCCUCCUCCGAGGACACCUCUGGAGACCAUGUACAACUUGAAGUUAGAUCGGUUUAUGGGUAAUGAAAGUCAUGAGGGGGCAGAGAAAUGGCUUGAUCAUAUUGAGAAAACCUUUCAGGUGAUGCAGAGUCAGGGGAAUCUCCCUGCUAAUAGGUGGGUGGAGACCACCACUUGGUUUCUGGGUUGUGAACCAGCAGCAUGGUGGAUAAAUCAGGCUAGGUACAUGUCACCUGAGACGGCAGCCGACUGGAAAGUAUUCAAGGAGCAUUUUAUGAAGAGAUUUCGUUCCUCCUGAGUAUAUUGACCGUAAGAAGCAGGAAUUCACCAGGUUGAAACAGAGAAAUAUGUCGGCACAUGAAUAUUAUAGAAAGUUUACUGAUUUGUCUCGUUAUGACACUGAUAUAGCUGGUAAUCAGGGAGAGAUGCUUCGACGUUUCAAGUUGGGAUCUAAGAAGAAGUGGCGUACCUUUGCCAAUGCACUUCCCUGCGCUGAUUAUCAUGAGUAUUUCGAGAUUUUGGUUAGGAUGGAGGACUCUGAUAAUCUUCCUGACAGUGAGGAUGACGAGGACAAGAAUGAGGGUCAGAAGAAGAAUGAUAAGGGUAAGGGUAUUUCUAUUCCUGGACCUCGACAGACACAGAGUUUUUAAGAAGAGUGGAGCGAGUUCGAGUUCUUCUAGUGGGGGAUAUAGUUUUACUGGCCCGAGGAGAGGUGGUGGAAGAUUUUCUGGUGGACCCAGAUUUCAGGGUCAGAGGGAUGCUGGUGGAUCUGGCGCUCCAUGGUGCCGCCGUUGUAACUCCCGUCACCAUGGUGAGUGUAGGAGAGGUUCUGGUGCCUUGUUUUUACGUGUGGGACAGAUGGGACAUCGGGCUUCUCAGUGCCCCCAGGGUCAGCAGAGACCGCAGCAGACUAAUAUGCCACCUCCAGCACCAGUUCAGCAGAGUUUUGGGACCGGGUGGUUAUGGCCAGCCGAGUCGUGGUGGUGCCUACCACUAUCAGGGGGAUGCUGCUCCGUAUGCUUCCGGACCUUAUCAGUAUUCUCAGGAGCCUUAUCCUCAGGCAGGGUAUUCUCAGGAUUUUGGAGGUUAUUCUUCUUAUUCCUCUAUGCCAGCUGGUGGAUCGCAGUGGCAUCAGGGAGGCCAGCCCCGUCAGGGGGAAGUUGCUACUGGUGGUGCAGGAUCAUCCAGGCAGCCUAGUCAGCCAGGCCAGGGACGAGGUAAUCAGGGCAAUAGAGGCCGAGGUGGACGUCAGCAAGCUCAGGGGCGAGUUAAUCAUAUUGUCCCUGCAGGAGGCUCAGAACCAUCCAGACUUGAUAAUGGGUACGUUAAAUGUUCUUGGUCAUUUUGCUAAGGUUUUGAUUGAUUGUGGCGCUACGCACUCUGUGAUUUCUCAUACGUUUGCUCAAAUAACCCAACCUCACCCUUCACCUCUAGGAUUUGAUUUAGAGUUUGCCAUGCCUAGAGGAGAUAAAUGUAUUGUGGAUAGUGUGUAUCUGGGGUGUCCAGUGAUGGUUGAGGGCGUGAUUAUGUCCGCUGAUCUUAUUCCGUUAGAUAUUGUGGAUUUUGAUGUGAUUUUAGGGGCCGAUUGGUUACACCAUAAUCGUGCCCAUAUUGAUUGUUAUGGUAAAUCAGUUACUUUUUAUCGUCCUGGAUUACCCGAGGUUAUUUUUGUGGGCGAGAGAAGUGGGGUGAGACAUGGAGUUAUUUCUGCCAUAAGGGCGAGGAAAUUAUUAUCGAAGGGUUGUCAGGGAUAUUUGGCACAUGUGGUAUUAAAUGAUGUUGCUCCUACUAGUAUAGAAGAAGUUGGUGUGGUCAGACAUUAUCCGGAUGUUUUCCCUGAUGAUUUGCCGGGAUUGCCGCCAGACAGAGAGGUGGAAUUCUCUAUUGAUUUGCUUCCAGGUACGGACCCUAUAUCUCUGACUCCUUAUAGAAUGGCUCCUGCUGAGUUAAGGGAAUUAAAAAUCCAGUUGCAAGAAUUACUUGAUAAAGGUUUUAUUCAACCUAGUUCUUCACCUUGGGGUGCCCCAGUAUUAUUUGUGAAGAAGAAGGAUGGAACUCUUUCGAUUGUGUAUUGAUUAUAGACAAUUGAACCGGGUAACGAUUAAAAACCGUUAUCCAUUGCCCCGCAUUGAUGAUUUGUUUGAUCAGCUGAAAGGUGCGUGUGUAUUUUCUAAGAUUGAUUUGAGAUCCGGGUAUUAUCAAUUGAAGAUUAAAGAAGACGAUGUACCUAAGACGGCUUUCCGAACUCGGUACGGACAUUAUGAAUUUUCGGUUAUGCCGUUUGGGUUGACUAAUGCACCUGCAGCUUUUAUGAGAUUAAUGAAUGAGGUAUUCCAGAAAUAUCUUGAUAAAUUUGUUAUUGUUUUUAUUGAUGAUAUUCUGGUAUACUCUAAGUCCCAAGCAGAUCAUAUCCGACACCUUAAUUUGGUGUUAAGGAAAUUAAGGGAGCAUCAGUUGUAUGCCAAGUUCAGUAAAUGUCAGUUUUGGUUGACUGAAGUGGCAUUUUUGGGGCAUGUUGUAUCAGCUCAAGGUAUUCAAGUUGAUCCUCAAAAGAUUGCAGCAGUGGAGAAUUGGGAGCAACCUCGAACCGUCACGGAGGUACGAAGUUUUCUUGGCUUAGCAGGUUAUUAUCGACGGUUCGUUCAGGAUUUCUCUAUGAUUGCUUUACCGUUGACAAAGUUGACCAGGAAGGAUGUUAAAUUUGAGUGGGAUGAGAAUUGUGAGCGGAGUUUUCAACAAUUGAAGUAUUGCCUCACUCAUGCACCGGUGUUGGUACUUCCCGACGAUAGCGGUAAUUUUGAGAUAUAUAGUGAUGCUUCAUUAAAUGGUUUGGGAUGUGUUUUGAUGCAGCAUAAUAAGGUGAUUGCCUAUGCUUCUAGGCAGUUGAAAAAAUCAUGAAAGGAACUAUCCUACUCACGAUCUUGAAUUGGCAGCAAUUGUUUUUGCUUUGAAAAUUUGGAGGACAUUACUUUGUAUGGUGAGAAGUGUAAGAUCUUCACUGAUCACAAGAGUCUUCAGUAUUUGUUUACUCAGCAUGAUCUUAAUCUUCGUCAGCGAAGGUGGAUGGAAUUGUUAAGUGAUUAUGAUUGUUCUAUUGAAUACCAUCCAGGUCGUGCUAAUGUAGUAGCGGAUGCACUGAGUAGGAAACCUCAAGGUAGACUUAAUGCCCUUAUAUGCUAGUCGUGUUCCUCUUCUUGCUGAAUCUGAGGACAACUGGGGUAAGGUUGGAAAUUGAAAGACCGAGGAUGGAGCUUUUCUUGCUAGUUUUCAAGUCAGGCCAGUUUUGGUGGAGCGUAUACUUGCAGCUCAGAUGGUGAAUGAGGAAAGUUCAAGGAGUUGGUUCAGUUAAGAAGUGAAGGGAAAAAGAAAGACCUCAGAAUUCGGGAAUCAGACGGUAUGCUCAUGCAAGAAGACAGAAUGUAUGUUCCGAAUAAUGAGGAAUUGAAGAAGGAAAUUCUGGACGAAGCACAUUGUUCAGCUUAUGCGAUGCAUCCGGGAGGAACAAAAAUGUAUAUCAUACCAUUCGACCAUUUUAUUAUUGGCCGGGUAUGAAAAGAGAAAUUGCAGAAUAUGUGAGCAGGUGUAUUAUUUGCCAGCAAGUGAAAGCAGAAAGAAAGAAGCCAUUUGGGCGAAUGCAACCCCUUCCUGUUCCCCAGUGGAAAUGGGAAAAUAUAACCAAUGGAUUUCGUGUAUAAACUUCCUCGUACGCGAAAUGGAUUUGAUGGUAUUUGGGUGAUUGUGGAUCGACUCACCAAGUCGGCGCAUUUCAUUCCUGUGAGGGAGAAAUACCCUCUGAAUAAAUUGGCUAAGUUGUUUAUUUCGAAGAUUGUCAAGUAUCAUGGAGUCCCAGUAAAUAUUAUCUCCGAUCGAGACCCGAGGUUUACUUCUAAAUUUUGGGUGGCUUUUCAGGAAGCUCUGGGUACUCAAUUACUGUAUAGCACAGCUUAUCAUCCUCAAACUGAUGGGCAAUCAGAGAGGACCAUUCAGACGUUGGAAGGAUAUGUUGAGAUCUUCAGUACUGCAAUUUGGUGAUUCUUGGCAUGAUCGUCUGGACUUAAUGGAGUUUGCUUAUAAUAACAGUUUUUCACUCGAGCAUUGGUAUGUCCCCAUUCGAGGCACUUUAUGGUAGGGCGUGUCGAACGCCAUUAUGUUGGUCUGAGGUUGGUGAACGGGUAUUAGAAGGCCCUGAGAUCGUGGAUGAGACGACUCAAAAUGUUCAGAUAAUUAAGUCAAACCUGAAAGCAGCCCAGGAUCGACAGAAGAGUUUAGCGGAUCGGCAUACUACUGAUCGAGUGUAUGAUGUGGGUGAUUGGGUAUUUUUGAAAUUGUCGCCUUGGAGAGGUGUAGUACGAUUUGGGAAAAGAGGAAAGUUAAGCCCGAGAUAUAUUGGACCUUAUGUGAUCACUGAAAGAGUUGGUGAAGUUGCCUAUCGGUUGGAACUGCCUCCGGAGUUAUCUAAGGUCCAUAAUGUGUUCCACGUCUCUAUGCUUCGGCAUUAUAUUUCUGAUCCUUCUCAUGUGAUCCCUCCUCAACCGUUAGAGAUUAAUCCGGAAUUUGACGUAUGAUGAGGAACCGGUCACUAUCUUGGAUUGGAAAGAUAAGGUUCUAAGGAACAAGACGGUGAGUUUGGUAAAGGUGUUGUGGAUGAACCAUUCUGCAGAGGAAGCCACCUGGGAGACGGAAGAUCGGAUGAGAGAGAUGUACCCAAGGUUAUUUUAUGGGUACUAAGUGGUUAAUUUGGAUUGUGGGAAUUUCGGGGACGAAAUUCUAUAAGGAGGGGAGAUUGUCACAGCCCGUCCCCGGGAUUUCUAUAUCGGGAAUGUGAAUUGACAGUAACUACCCUUGAUUGGACAUUCGGGUACGUGUGUGUGCGACAUUAAAUUGAAAUUUUGUAAGUUUUGGGAUUUUAAUUUUGGAAUUUGGAAAUUUUUUGUGGUUAGGGAAUUGGAUGGAUGGUGAGGAUUGUGUUGGACCACACAAUCACACACACACGCACUCCCUGUCUUCUCUCCCUCCCGUAGCUCUCUCUGUCCCUCUCCCUCACGAUCUCUCUCUUUCACCCUCACCCUAUACGUACGGCCUUCACCCAAAACCCUUCAAAACUCGACGGAUCGAGGGGCAAAUAAGGUAUGCAUCUUCAUCCUUUCGUCGUCCUGAGUUCAUUGGUGCUAGUUUUAGGAAGUGAAACCUUCGAUUUCACAUAGAUCCCGAACCUCCAUUUUUGAGGUACUGUUCAUGCGAACGUAAAAUGUUGUGUUUCAGGAGAUUUCAAGCUUGUGGUGAGCUUUAGGAGGUUCUAAGGAAGCUCGGGGACGUUCGUUGGAGAGUUUUGGACGUCGGGAUCGUAGGUUUCAAGUUUGGCCGAAUCUUUGGUUUUUCCAAGGUGAGAUUUCGUAGUUUUUAGGCCCUAAAACAAGUCCAACGUGAUUGUACACUCUUAGGGCUUCAAUUUGGUAUAAAAUACGAAGAAAAUGGGUGAAAAAACGAAGGAGAAUAGUGAGUUUGAAAAUCGGCCGGAGUUCGGCCGGAGUCCGGCCACCGGAGAACCAGUCCGGCGAGGACCUGCGAAGAAGACGACACGUGCGCUGCACGUGCUGCGCGUGGCCAGCGCGUGGACCCGUGCCACGUGUGGCGCGUGGGGGCGCGUGGGGCUUCCAAAAAAUUUUUCUAAAAAUUUCUCGACGCUCGUGACGUCGAGUAGGUCGAUGUGGUAUAUUAUUAUACCAAAAAUUGAGCAUCGUAUGAGAAGUUAUUUCAAAUUAUUGGUGAUGUGCUUUAAAAUUAAUGUUUUUAUAGUUGUUUCGCAUAUAGGUGAGACGUAUCCCGAGGACGACCGCAUCCAGGGACGCCACGGGGGUUACGACCCGUCGACUUAUCAGUGAAUGGGCAGUUUUGUUUUCGUAUUACCUAUAUACUACUGUUUUUCCCAGAAAAAUGCAUUUAUAUGAAAAUAUGUUUUUGAAUAUGCCAUGCAUAGAAUUAUUUGAAAAUCAUGAAUUGGUUUCACAUGAACUAUAUGAUUGAAAUAUGAUGCAUACAUGUUGCAUGGUGCUGUGGAGGCACAGGUAAGUCAGGUGAGUUCAUUUAUUCAUUGAAUUGUUGUUGUUGAGAUGAGUUGAGCUCAUAAUCUGCACCCUAGGUGUUAGUGCUUAUAUUAUUCACCACACCGCACGCUCGUCUUGGAUCCAAGUAGGUGGAUGUCGUACAGACCAUGUGAGGGUUCCGACAUGCUAGUCGUACAGAUCACUAGGCGUGAUUCCGACUAGUGGGUGACCUUAGUUAUGCGCGCUGAUGAUAUGAUGAGAGAAGCACUAGAGCGUAUUUUUACACCUUUCAUCGUAUAGACUACCUUACGUAGUUCCGAGUGAUGUGCAGAGUAGGGCCGUAUAGGUCACUGUGGUGACUCCGGCUUAGUGGGAUUUGAGCUAUUGAAUUAAUCGUAUAGGACCAACUGCAGGGUCUCCGAUUGAUUCCUUAUUCACCUGAUUUAUAUUUUUUAUUUAUGUCAUGGCAUGUUUUCUUGAAAAUGUUAAAGAUUUGAGAUUUAAAUGUUGAGAUUUUAUAUGGUUAUAUAUAUUUCUGGGAAAGUAUACAGGUUUUUACGGCGAGGGGAUAUAACUGUUUUAAUGAAAUGUUUUGGAAAACUAAUUUGUUUUACUGACCCACUCAUUUUGUUUUGCGCCCCUCCAGGUUCUAGUUUAGCGGUGGUUGGCUCACGAGGUCCUUUCCGGCUUUCUGACAGAUUUGGGACAUGUAGGACUCACCUGAGGGUGAUGUAUUCUUAUUUUAGUCCUACUUGACUGCAGUUAACCUAUGCUCUGAACUUAUGUGUUUACUUGUAACUCGUCCGGUUAUGUCCGUAUGUGGUUAUGUUGAGUUUGGGUUGAAUUUCUGUUGUUAUUACGCUUCCGUGUCGUGCUUAUGGUUACGUCACGCCCACGUGACGGCCAGCACACCUGGAUCCUCCGGAUCAGGGUGUGUCAUAGAACACCUCUUUAUAGUAUAGAUGAUGGAUGACUUUAUACUAUGAAGUUGUUUUUCAAUAUAUAUGUUCAAUGGUUUUGUACUUACCUAGUGGUCCUUUCCGCUACGGGACGUAGGGAUAGAUUCCGGUCAUUCCCGGGCGACGGUUUGGUGUUGGCAUAGGGCCUGGAGUGUGUUUCCUCUGGCUAUUUAGCACAGGGACGGGGAGCCGGCAUGGGGCCUGAAGUGUAUUUUCCUCUGACUGUCUGCUCAGAGACGGGGAGCCGGCAUGGGGCCUGGGGGUUAUCGGACAAUUCACUAGUGAUUAUUAUAUAUAUAAAAGUUAUGAUUUGAGACACUGCACAUCAUGCUAGGUUUCGGAAAACCUAUGUUUAUCAUUAUAUAUGUGUUUUCAUAAAACUUGGGGGUUAGUACGUUGAUAACUGUUUUGUUAUAUUUAUAUCAAAUUGGUCCACUCAUGUUUGUUUUGCGCCCCCUUCAGGAUUUAGGAUCGAGGCGUACAAUCCCGGCAAUCCAGGCACUUCCGCAUCGGUAUCUUCAAGUCCUCUCGGUGUAGAACCCACUUCUGUGUUCAUUCAAUUUUUAUAUUAAUCCUUUUAAUGUUCUAGAUUAGAUGUGUGCUCUGAACACGUUCCUUAAAUGCAUAUUCUUUAUUCUCUUAUAUUUAUAAGUUUUAUCUAUCCUUUAUUUUCAGCAAUUGCACUCAAUAAAUGGCUUUCGUCGCCCUCGGGUGUCGGCCAGCACGUGACCAUCCUGAUAUCCUGAGGAUAUCGGGAUCGGGGCGUGUCAAUUUGUGAAGAAGAAUUUUUAUGCACUGCAACUGUUUGAUCGUCUGUCUAAGAGAGGGAGUGCAAAUGUACAUGUGCUUUAUGUGGCCUCUUUAGAUAUGCAUGAUUUAGAAGCUAGCCCUAAACUGGAUGGUAGUAGCAGCAAGCCAAGGGUUAAAGAAGUGUCUUCUGAAGAAAAAGAUAAUGUGUCUCACAUUGAGAUUAAGAUUACUGAAUACCAUAGCUCCGAUGAAAAGUGUGUUCUGAGGUAUCUUAAUCUUUCAGACAACGCCAUGGGCAACUAUGGUGUCAAUGCAUUUGAGUCACUUCUUAGUUCACAAAACAAUUUGAGAGAACUUUAUUUGAUGAAUAUGGCAAGGCUCAAUAUGUGUCAUAACAUGAGGGAGUGGCACUGCGAUGCUAUUAGGAAGAUCAAAUGGCUGAAUGAGAAUGAGAUUUCUGUUAUGAUCAAUACCGAAGGACAAGCAAACUAUGAAGGUUUUUUUUAUUGUAUCAAAUAUGGUGAGGAGCUCACUUUUAAGCUGUUGCUCUAUUUCCAAGCUGUCAAGGCAAAAAGUCUUGGGUUUACUAAACUUGGGUCACCAAAAGAGGCUAAGAAGGUUGUUGGGAACAUGAAUGAUGUUACUGCUAGUGCCAAACAGCUAAAGGAGAUGGAACAAGGCUUGACCAGUUUGAUAGUUUUGGGGAAUGGGCGAUUGUCUGAUCUUAUUGCACAGCUGCAGGAUAUAUUAGAGGGUGUAAAUGAAGCUGAUAUCUUGCCGGAGAAGUUUGAUAAUGCAGUUAUUAAAGCUCAGAUUCCACAAUUGGCUCGAGAAAUCAGGGAGUUAACCUCAUCUCGACCUGUAACCAUCUACAAUGAGAAUUCUUCCUCUAGUGGGAAUUAUGCUUCAUAUUUAGUUCCACUUGCUGCACUUGCUGCAAUGGGCUAUUGUUACAUGUGGUGGAGAGAUUGGUCAUUUUCAGAUGUGAUGUAUGUGACAAGGCAUAAUAUGGCAAAUGUUGUUGAAGCUCUAAUUAGAGAGGUAGCUAGCAAGAGCAAUGACUUUGCUGGGAACGGAACAACAAAUACAUUGAAGAUGAGUGAAUGCGCUAUGGGCACCUAUUUAGAUUUAGUAUGCUCUCUUAGUCACCUGGAAAGCAAUUUUGGUGGUGCCUUAGUUAUUGAUUUACAUGUUGAGUUCUCUUUGUUUUUCACUUGUAACCCUGACUGUCGGCUUUUAUGGGAUCCAGGAGAUGCAAUGGCUAAAACUGUUAAGAUGAUACUCUAUUUUAAAAAUGUCAAGGCAGAGUGGCUUAACAGGGUUACAAAAAUAACCAAGUUUGGUAGUUUUAUGGUACAAUUGGAUAGAAGUGUUGAAGCUUUGAAUAAGGGCAAAAAGCAAAAAACUAGAGAUGGUGGAUAUGGUGAUGAGAUAAAGAGAUUGCAUGAUUUAAGCGUGAACAAGGUUGUGGAUAUGGCGACUAGGUUCGAAAGUGCAUUGGUAGGACAUGUUAACAAUAUAAUUUGUAGUACUACUGUAAGAUUGGAGAGACUUCACUCCGAUGAUUGGUGGUGUUCUGCUAUAUCUCAACUGCUGAUGAUUGGUAAAUCCAUCGUAUCUAGUUCAAACAAAACUCAGGAAGCAAAUGUGGAUGCUGUUUUGGGAACCGGUGAUCCGAGUCUACUAGUUGAGAACACUUCAGUUGAGCAGCUUGGUUUCGUCAGAAAGGUGACAAUCUUUAAGGACUCCACUUCCAUUAUUGGUGAUGCAGCAUCAAAAGAUGGGUUGCAAGUCCAUGGUGUGUCUCCAUUUGACAUUAUGGGCAGAAAUCUUUUCUGGGAAAAGCAACUGCAAAGGCUGCAAAUGGGAGCUGUCACAAGAAAGUUCUUGGUGGUUAAUUUCAGUUCUGGUUUUGAUGAAUCUUCAUAUCUCUCUCGGGUUGAAAAUUUUGAGGAGAUGUCACAAGAAAAUUAUGGAGAGGCUACAGGAAACAAGAACUCACUCACUCAGUUCAAGCGAGCUGCCAUACCUGGAAGGAUUAUAAUGAUUUCAAAGUCAAGUUCUACAAUUCCAUUUUUAAGCCUUGAGGACAAGGCUAAUUUUCAAGGGGGAAGUAUUGUUAUGACCCAAAUUAUUACUGAGGUUUUAUGCUUUAUUACUGUGAGGAAUUGUUAAUAUGCCAGCUGGCAUUUAAAAGUGUAGAGGUUUUAUAAAAGGAGCCCCAGCUCCCCCAAAUGUAUCAGAUCAGAAUUUUACAAAAGAAAUCAAUAUUGGAGCUCUGCUCCUUCUUCUCUCAUUCCCUCUUCUUCCAUAGCUUUCUUGUGCCACUUGCAGGUUGAUUAAGGGAAUUGAGAAUUAGAUCUUAUCAUAACGUCACUACCACAACUCCCAAUAUCAUCACGCUGAAUGUCCACACUCGGUUUCUGCUCAAUUAAAGCGUCAAUUUCCUGCAAAAUACUCUCAUCGAAAUCAUCAUCGUUAAGAAUUCCAGAUGCAGAGAAAGAAUCAAAUGAAGUCAGAAACUGCGGUUGUCUGAUUGGAGUUGUGAAAGAAUCCGAUUUUGACACGCUUGAUUCGGUCCGGCUAACGCUUAAGCUCCCGGAACACGAAGCACUGCCAUAUUCACCACGCGCUGAAUUGUACCGGCUUGCGGAAAUCGGAAGCGGUGUUCUUUGAACUCUAUUGAGCUGAGUUGGCGUUUGGAUUCCAUUUCCGCCAAAAAACACAAUUGAAUUGAUUUAAAUUGAAGCAAGAAAACAGCCAAGUAGCCAAAAAAUAGUAAGAAGAUGAAACCUUUGAUUCCUGAACGACUUACUUGGUAUGAGGGAGGUGAUGAUCAGGUGAAACGGCGUCGUUGCAGGGGCGUUUGCGAUCAAUGAGGGCCUUGGCGGCUCUGAAAUUCCGAGAGAUGCGGUUUCUUUGUUCCGCCGUGAGCCCUCCGCCGUACGCCUGAACGUUUUCCUUGGACAUUGCUUCCAAGAUUCCAACGGAGGAUUUGGCCUGACGGCCUGACCAGGCUGAUAACAGUGUAAAACCUUAGGAGCUAAGGAAAAACUAAGAGAGAGAUUGUAGAGAGGGAAAGUUUUUUCUUUUUGGAAACCAGUAGAGAGGGAAAGUUUGUUAAACCUGAAUAAUAUUCUUUUCAUUCAACUUGUCUACAAUAAUUACCACUCGUGGUAUUUAUACAUUUGUAACACACCUCACUAACUAACUAAGACCACCACCAAUCAUACAUAAACACUUGUCAUAAUCCUAUGCACUCAUAGUAUCAUCACUUUAACAUUCCCCUCAAGCUCAUGUGGCAGAUUGCCAAGCAUGAGAUUGGAACAAUUACGAGCGAACUGGGGUGAACACAAGCCUUUGGUGAACAUGUCGGCAUAUUGAUCUGCAGAGGUAACAAACUACAAAAUAAUUGUCCUUUGAUGAACUCUUUCACGAACAAAGUGGCAAUCAAUCUCUAUAUGUUUGGCUUUAUAGUGCAAUACAGGAUUAGUGGCAAGAGCCAUUGUUGAAAUGUUAUCACAAUGCAAAACUAGAACAGAAGGAGAACCAACAUGCAAAUCUCGAAGAAGCUGUUGUAUCCAGAUAACCUUAGCAGUGGUUGUAGCCAUUGCUCUAUAUUUAGCUUCAGUGGAAGACCUACUCACUGUAUGCUGCUUUUUAGAACUCCAAGAGAUAGGAGUAUCUCCCAAAAAAAUGACAAAACCCGUGGUUGAACGACAAUCAUUGGGAUCCCCUACCCAAUCAGCAUCUGUAUAAGCUUUCAACUGAGAUGAACCUGAUUUAAAACAUAAUCCCAAAGAUAUAGUGCCUCUGCGAUAUCGUAGAAUACGUUUCACAGCAGCAAAUGAGUGGCUAAGGGUGAAUGCAUAAACUGACGUACUUGAUUGACAGAAAAAUAAAUAUAUGGUCUUGUAAAUGUUACGUAUUGCAGUGCCCCAACAAUACUUUUGUAAGUGGUAGGAUCAAAAACAGGUUCACUACCAUGAUUCAGAAGCUUCUGAUUAGGAUGACAAGGUGUGGAAAAAAGGUUUACAGUCUAGCAUAUGCAUCUUUUAAAGGAGUUCUUUGACAUACUUGGUCUGAUGAACAAAGAGUCCCUGACCCUGAUACUCAAUCUGUAAACCAAGAAAAUAAUGCAACACACCUAGAUCUUUCAUGCCAAACUCACUAGUUAACUAACUAAUAACCUUCUGAACCUUCACAGCAUCAUUACCAGUGAGAAUGAUAUCAUCAACAUAUAAUAAGAGAACAAUAAUUGAUGAACCAUCACACUUGACAAAUAAAGAAGGAUCUGCAUAUGAUGACUUGAACCCAAGCUUAGGCAAAUAACCUGAAAACCUGUCAUGCUAGGCUCUGGGAGCUUGCUUGAGACCAUAUAAAAACCUCUCUAGUUUGCACACAUAAUCUGGAUAGGUAGAAUCCACAAACCUUUGGGACUGAGACAUAUAAACUUCUUCAUCAAGAAAGCCAUGCAAAAAAGCAUUAUUGACAUCUAACUGUUUGAGUUUCCAAUUAUGAGAUGCAGCCAAGGAUAAAACCAAUCGAACUAUGGUUGGUUUGACCACAGGGCUAAAGGUUUCAUAAUAGCUAAUACCAACUUCUUGAGAAUACCCAUUAGCUACAAUUCUAGCCUUGUACCUAGCCACUGAACCAUCUGGAUUUCUCUUAAUCUUGUAAAUCCAUUUACAACCAACAAGAUUUUUGUCAGGUGCUAAGGGCACAAGCUUCCAAGUAUGAAGCAUCCAUCUCUUCUUUCAUGGCAUUUUGCCAUUGAACACACUUGACUGCACUAGAAAAAGACCGAGGUCCAAUAAAUGGAAAUGUGGAAGAAACACUAGGUGGAUGAAUGAAUGUGUUUGAAUGCACAACAGACACUGGUGAGGAAGAAUGACCAGAAGUAACUUGAGGAUUGAAACCCAAAGCAUUAGAGUCUAUAGGAAACUUGGAUUCAUAAAAAAUAACAUGUCUAGAUACUAAUAGUUUAUGAUCUUUGAGAGAGAAGCAAAUAUACCCUUUGUAUUGUGUAGCAUACCCCAGAAAAAUACACUUAGUAGUUUUAGGUUCAAGUUUAUUGCUUCUAUAGGGUUUCAAUGAAGGAUAGCAUAAACACCCAAAAAAUCUCAAAUGAUCAAGCUUAGGUGGAGAUUUAUAUAGCAUUUCAAAAGGAGACUGCAUAUGUAGGGUAGGUGUGGGCAUUUUGUUUAUAAGAAAAGUAGCAGUGGCACAGGCAUGGAACUAGAAUUUUGAAGGUAAUGAAACUUGUUGUAAAAAGGUAAUAGUUGUUUCGACAAUAUGUUGAUUUUUUCUCUCAGCCAACCCAUUAUGUUAUGGGGUAUAAGGACAAGAUUUUUUAUGAACAAUGCCUUUGGUAAGAAGAAAUUGCUUAAACUGAGUACUAACAUAUUCCCUACCCCCAUCACUCUGCAAAAUUUUUACAUGAGCAUCAAAAUAAUUCGAGACAGAAGCAAGAAAGUUGACAAAAACAGUGAACACUGCAACUUUAUUAUUUAAUGGAAAAAUCUAGGUAUAUCUUGUACAUUCAUCAAUAAAGGAAACAUAAUACUUGUAACCUUCUAUAGACAAACUAGGUGAGGGACCCCAAACAUCUAUGUGAAUUACUUCAAAUGGAGUAAGUGACUUCGAAGCAAUUACAGGAAAAAGGAGCUUGGUAAACUUGCCUUGCAAACAAGCAUUACAAGUAUGAGAUUGAGAGUUACAAGGAAAAGAUAUACAAGACUUAUUAAGUGCUGCAGUGACAGUGGAAUGUGUAGGAUGGCCUAAUUGACAAUGCCACAAUGUAGAAGAAAUCUUUUGACCCACAAAUGCAACUGGAUUAAAAACAGGAGAAAUAGACCUCUGUGGUUUGAUUAUGGGAAGUGGAUAGACAACAUUAUUACUCAGCCCUUGGAAUAGCACUCUCCCGGUGACCUUGUCCUGUAGACAGAGAGAAACAUCAUCCAUGAUACAACGACACUGAUUAUCUUUGCACAACUGAUUCAUAGAUAAUAAGUGUUGUGACAGUUUUGGAACAUGUAACACAGAGUUUAACUUGAAAUUAUGUGACUAAGUGAGAAGAGAAGAGGAACCAAUAUGUUUGACAGCUAAACCUUCACCACUAGCACUGGUCACAAUAUCAUUUGAUGGAUAAAUUUAUUGUCAUGUGCAAGUUUGACAAAUCUGAGGUCAUAUGGUUAGUUGCUCCCAAGUCAAGAAACCAGAAAUCUUGUUGAAGAGUUGAGGAUGAUGCACCAGCUCGUGCUUGCAUAGCAAGAGGAGGAUUUUGUGAGGAUAUAGUUAAUAGAUACAUAUGUGGUAUGACAAGAUACUGAAACUGUGAGCUAUUAGACUGUGGAAUCAUGCCUUGUGAAGGACCACAUGGAUUCUAGCUAGGUGCUUCACCAUAUGACCCAGUAGGCAUUGGAGUUGGCAUAGAUGAGGAUAAACCCUAAGAGAAAUGCUCUGAUGUGCCUGUGAAAUUUUUAUUCUGAUCAAAGCAAGUAGCAGCAACAUGACAACCUCUGUGACAAAUUUGACAUCCAUGUUGAAAACAAUUCAAUGCAGAAUGACCUUUGCGAUCACAUAUUUGCAGAAUGGCCUUUGCAACCCUAGAAAGAAGGAGCGAAGAAGACCAAAUGUGUACGUUUCUCUUUGGUUUUUUUUCCCUCCUAAUCGCGCUGUUCGAAAUCACGGACCUCGGGCCUGGGCCUAGUGGGCCCAAUUAUGAGGCCCAUUAUCUCCGGUCUUCUCGUUCUACUUCUAGUUACCCAAAUUAAGAACGUACGCUUUUAGCGCGAGAGAGAAAUGGAGGCCCUGAUUGCCUCGUACGGAGACUCGUCGUCGGGCUCAGACUCCGAGUCGCCGGCUCCACCUCCACCACCACCUCCGGAGCUCAACAACCCUCAAGAACCGACCCCUGCGCUGCCUCCACCUCCUCUGUCACUUCUCGACAGCCCCAAUUCCUUCGGUAACCUCUGAUUCCCAUCAAUUUUCAUCUUUUAGCUUUCUGUUGUGAUGGCUUUUUCCGAGUUGCCCACCAAGUGUUUGAUGUUUUGCCUCCGAAGAAUUUCUGGACUUAUCGGCAAGCGCCCAGCCGAGCAGAGUUCGGAACUUUCCUCACGUCGAAGGGAACUACGCAGUACAUGUAUACAUCCCAGGUUAUCAAAAUUCUCGAAAUUUUCAGCUCCAUUAGCAAAUGCGAUCGCUUUGCACUUAGUUUUUGCUUGUUUAAUUGUGUGGUUCCAGUUUAUAUACCACCAGCACCAAGGAAAGAGAUGGCCUUGUUUUUGAACAAGCUAGCUUCUCUGCUGCCUGGUCUCCAUGCGGUUGACGUUGACUUCCCGCUUGACAUUCUGCGUAAGGACGAGCACAAGCUUGAACAAGUUGCUUUAGGCAGAGAGUUCCAUAUAAGUCUCGGAAGAACUGUUCCGAUGCGGGUGCACCAGAUUGAUUCCUUGGUGACAAUGCUGCGGCAGAAGCUUCAGAUUCAGAGGCGGUAUGGUUACAUUUACAUUCUCUUGUCUGCAUUGCGUGAAUUUAGUUCUGUUAUUUAACAUAAUUCUGUAAGCCUGUUUUCGUAUAAAUGCACGGUUGAAUCAGCUUUCAUUGUCUACAAGUCUGAAAUAUUUUAACUUCCAUUGAUUUCAGAUAACAAAGCAGAUUCAAGCUGUGAAUGAGGUGUAUAAGCUUCACAAUCUUCCUGAAUUUUACAAGGUUAGCUUUUUCGUGCUUUUCAAACUCGAAUCGGUUCCUGAAUGUAUGACAAUAUAUUGGAUCAAACGAUUUCUCAAAACACUAAUUCACUUGAUGGGGUCUUGGUGAUCACAGGAUCCACGCCCUCACAUCUCGGUAGCUUGAGCAUUGGGUGACAUCAGCAAUUCCCUGAACAAAGUGGUUGAAGAAGAAAGACGAAGAUCUACCAUCGGAGGAUCGUUACAGAAAUGUAUUUUUACCAGUAAAUUCAAUGGUAUCGAUAUCGAAUGUAGGAUUGGUAAUAAAACACACAAAAUAUGUAAAUUUUCUGAAGAAUAAUGUAGCCAUUUAACUGUAUUGUGAAAUUCCGAGAAUAUAUGGCUGAGCAUUGGAUGAGAAGACAUUUCUUCGUUGGUGUCGAACUUCUUGUCGAAGGUAUUGGCACCAGUGUAAACGUCAUCAUCCAUGUUGAUGGUAAUUACUUACCAGCUACUAAGGGUGUCGGAACAACCUUGCACGCACCCUCCUGUGCAUUACUUGGUAUUGUCUCGGAUUCUCCAAACUUGAAUGCUAAUGUAAACCCACUCUUGACCUUUCCGUCAUCUGCAAUUACCGGAAAGCCGGCUUGGAUGUUGCCGUUGACCUACCAAACUUAAAAUACCGACGAAAUGUUGGAGUACUUCAGUGUACUACUCGUUUUUGUAUGCGAGAGCUCCACCUCUAUCGUUGUAACAGCAUCUGAUGCGGACUAGUCCUUCAUUCCCGUUACUCUUUGCCAUCUCCACUUCAAACUUGGUGUGAUGGCUCCCGGCCUCCUCUCCGGUGAAAUUGAGUAACCCCGGAGCUGGCGUGCCAUCAAGAUUUCCGUUGUGUCUCUAUUUGCUGUUGUGGUUCGGUUCCACUAUAAACUUGGCAGAGUUAGCAUUUUCAUUCUGUUGUCUGUAUAUCUUGAUAUUACAAGUAUUUGUUGUGCAAAAUGCAUGCUAAGUUCAAGUUAUGUUUAUAUGUGUGUGUGUGUUGCCACUUUUCCAACGUUUUCUCCAAAAUUGUGACGAGCAACAAAGCAGUUUUGAUUCCGUGCACAACAACGAUACCUCGAAAGAAAUUGAUUCUUCCCCAGAAAGAUGUUUUAAAACAAAGUUGAACAAGGGAAGAAAACUUUUGAAUCGCAAUCAGAUGUCUGGUCAAAUUCUUUAACAGUUGAUGUAUACAGAAGUUCCUUGCUUAUGACACGACUUAUGAGAGGAUGUAUGUAUUGCAUUUGCAUCAAAAGAAAGAAAGAAGGUUGUAAGUGGUAAGGGAACGACUACCGAUGCCGCUCCACUUCUAAUCAAAGGGAUCGAUCCGAGGGUCGUGUUCACUUGCCAUCGCCAUUCCAGUGCAAAGGCAUGUCGGGCACAUUACCUGCCACAUUUACAGACGCAAUGUUAGAUAUAGCUGCCAUUUGGAAGUCAUCUCUCAAAAUUUUGCUACUAAAUUAAUCUUAAACUUCAUUUCCAGUGCAAUUUUUUUCUUCUGAAUUGUCUUUCACAUGCCCGACAAAUAGAAGUAUCACCAAACAUGUGAUAUAGAGCAUCUAAGCGGCAGGCACUAAAAGGAAUUUAGUAUGCAAUAAACAUUCAACGGACAUAAUUAUAUGUCUAACCUUUCCCGCUCCUGAGCAAUUUGAACAUCGUUCAGUUUUUGGCAGAGAUAGGGGUUGGUUUCCGCCAUCAGCUGUCGAUACUGGUUCAGUAAGAACAAGGGUUCCAGUGCUGGAGCAACGAGCACAAGCAAGAGAUCCUGCGUAAGUAUCAAAUACACAGGUAAGUUGACAUACGAAACCAAUCCGAACAUCUCCAUCGUAUAUAUUUAAAGCUACAGUACAUAAAACUAAAAGUCAGAAAUAUAGGACAUUAUCACACCAGUUCCAAGACAAUAUUUGCAUCGUUUAUGCUCCUGCUGUUUCACAUUGUUUAUUUCAACUACCAUCAAUGCUGAGAUCACUCCGACUGCUCCUCCAGAGAAUGACGCCACUAUGGGAUCAACUUGACUGCAGUUUGAAAGUAAAGGAGAUCAAUAAACGAAACUGGUAACAACAUAGUAUCAACAUUAUUUAGCUUCGUUUCAAGAAAGAUGACAUCCUAGGUUUUUCUAAUGUGUAAAAAUUGAGGAUCCUCGUAAAAUUUGACUAUAUCGGUUCCCAAAGCAUUUGAUUCCUACGUUACAGACGGAAAACAGCAACAAUCGAAUUUAAAGAUUCAUAACACGAUAGAUGGUACAAAAUUUCAAAACGAUAAUUACUAGAGAACAGGAGGGUUAAUAGCCUGAGAUAUGAGCAAUACCUCAACUGCAACGGCAGAUGCAUAUUUACUAUAAAGUCUUUAUAUGAUGUGCCUCCUAUUCCCAGCUUCAACUCCAACUGAAAGAUGUAAAGGUAAUUGUAGGCAAAGAGUUACAAACAUAACCGAAUCCAUGUUUUAUAAGCAACAACUACACUUAUUUUGAUAUGUUUCCUCAUUUUUUACUUGCAAAUUCCAAACCAUAUUGUCGGACCAGUAAAAGAAAAUAAUGUUUAUGAUAACUGUUAAAACUAAUUACAACAAGUUAAUGCAUAAAGAACUUACGGAGGGUGCUAUGAGGCCACCGAAAAGGAUAAACCCCGCAAUAAUUGAAUAACAAACAGCAUAAUACUGCUUAAGGUUGUCUGAACUCUGCAAGCAAUGAAUUCACCUUGUGAUUAAUACUUUGCACAAACACUAGUUUUCGCAAUUUUUUAUGAAUCGACAAAAGGCUACAACAAAAUAUGGCUAAAACAUGUCGGGGAUAUGAAAAUACAUGUCUUCACAGGGGCACCAGCUUACCAGGGGAGGCAAAAAUGGAAUGAACGAUGGAAAACUAGGAAGUUCGUUUUCUUGAUCUUCAUUUACCGCUCCAAGCUCUGCACGUUUAAUCCGCUGUUGUAUCCUCAGCCUGCGAACCUACGCAUAUCGAAGCUCAUUCUUAAAGAACACAUUUCUAAUGGCAAUUGGAGAGUAAUUUAAAACAUGCUACACUGAGAAAGUGGUAGCAACUAGCAAUUGCUCUCACCUCCUCCAUAUGCAAGAAAAUUUUGUUGCGACGACUCCGAAUAUUAUCUUGAAUUUCCUGCAGCUCCAUUGUGGCAAAAUCCUGCACUGUUUCAGGCCCCUCUAUGAUACAAAAUCUGCACCAUUAAGCAUGUAAAAAUUAAAAAUUACAAGCUACAAAGCAAUUUCCGUAUAGUUGUUGGGUUAAAUAACAUCAACAGCAAAUAAAUCACAUAGGUUUUUCACAUAAAGUUACAAACUUUCAAGGACUAAUAAGCUGUCUGCAAUCUCAUAAAUUUCACAGUGCAAAGUAACAAUCCAAAGCUUGGAACUUUAAAUUUCCACCUUCUGUUAAUUUUUUAGUGCACCUGGUGUCGUUAGAUUCGAGUAGUAUGUCACAUUAAAUUUUUUUUUUCUGUGCAUGCAUUUUUUUUUAAAAGAAAAUUUAUAUUGUUAAAGAGCGAGUUCGAAACUAUUACAUUAUGGAAGGACAUAGUACCGAAACUCCGACGAUCAAAAACAAAAUCAUGUACAACCACUCCAAGCAGUCAACAUGGCCAUCACAUAUUGAAUCCAAAAUGUUGACGCCCCAUUCGCUGCAUAUAAUGUACAGACGAGCGGCAGCUUCAACCAGUUCUGCCAUAUCCGGCUGGAUGAGAGCAGCUAAAGACAUGAUUGUUCCCUAAUAACAUGAAUAAAUUGAGUAAACACCAAAAGUAGCAGCAAGGGAAGGAGAUGUGAAGUAUAUGAAGAGGUGUAAGACCUGUGAAUGUCCAGCAACAAAGAUUUUGGAGCUUGUUGUCGAAUAAUGCAACGCGUCAUUUCUGGUAGAUCAAAUAGAGCCAAUUCCCGCCAACUCCAAUUCCAAAAUUUCUACAGUAAAGCAUAAAUCUUAUUCUCUCUUCUGAUAAAGAUGAGUGUCCCAGACUCCAACGUGUUCCACACACAUUCCCUACCCAUACAUCGAAACCUUCAUCUGCAAGGACGAAUCCCAGCGAUUCUUCUGGAGAAUUUAAGAAUCAUGCAUCACCUGGUUAAGAUCAAGAAAAGCCAGUAACCAAGUUCAAUUGAGUUAAAAUGUAUCCCAUGGAUGUUCAUCACUUUGCCCAAUUGUUCUUUUCAAGAAAGGAAAUUUCAACAGAACCUGAAAACUUCAGAUCAGGGGGCACCAAAUAGUGAGCUAUACAUUCAAAAUUUGAAAUAAUCAACUUAGUAGGACCAGUAUGUUGAAAAAAUAGGAAGGAGCUAUGAAAGUAAGACUUUUCACUAAUCAGGCGUCCAGAGAAUCCAUAUUUUACCCGCGUAUCAGUUACGGGGAACACUCCCCACCAGAGCAAUCUCAUUAGUCCUUCACAUCUCAACCGUACAGAAGUUGCACUAACAAACAUGACUCCUAUUAGUCCUUCACAUCUCAAAUCCAGGAAGUACCCAUCUUUCGUCUGAAUCUGGAAAAUAAGCAGCAGUCAAUUUAACAAUCUCGGUAUCUCAAAGUUACUCACUUUAAUCACAAAUUUAGCAAUUAAACAUAUAAAUGGGCAUUUUUUUAGGGAAAUAUUAGUAUAGUACUCACUGUGUGCUCGGAGCAAGAGUACCCAGAAAGCUCAAUGAGCUGCGCACAGAGGACUGCAGUGGUGAACGACAGCGACCGCACAGAGGACUGCAGUGGUGAACGACAGUGACCAAUUCUGUAAAAUUUAGUCGAGUUUUGGGAAAUUUCUGCAGCGAUUUCGGAGGUCAAGAGGCUGAUAAGGAAAGCCGCGACCAAAGGGCACUGGUCUGGAAGAAAGGCUUUGGUCGCCGCUAUCGCAAUUCACGAAGGAAGAAGUGCCCCAAAACAAUUUCGGCCCUGGACAGGUGCACUGUUUGCACUGAGCCAGGGCCGGCCCUGAAUCGCGAUAACGUCCUUCUCCAAACAGUAUAUAUACAGAUGCUAGAAAAAUCUACCGGAACUAUUCAAUUCUAGCGUCUACAGCUUUAGCAUUAGUUGGUACAAGGGGCAUUCUUCCAAAGAGGGAGAUGAAAUCGUUGAGGCACCAAAUAGUGAGCUAUACAUUCAAAAUUUGAAAUAACCUCUUGGUAGGACCAAUAUGUUGAAAAAAUUGGAAGGAGCUAUGAAAGUAUGGCUUUUCACUAAUCAGGCGUCCACAGAAUCAAUAUUUUACUCACAGAUCAUUUACGGGGAACACUCCCCACCAUAACAAUCUUUUUAGUCCUUCACAUCUCAAACCAAGUAGAAAUUGCAGUAACAAACACGACUUCUAUUAGUCCUUCACAUCUCAAACCCAGUAAGUACCCAUCUUUCGUCUGAAUCUGGAAAACAAGCAGCAGUGGAUUCAACAAUCUGGGUAUCUCAAAGUCACUCACUUUAAUCACAAAAUUAACAAUUAAACAUAUAAAUGGGCAUUUAUUUAGUGAAAUAUUAGUAUAGUACUCACUGUGUGCUCGGAGCAAGAGUACCCAGAAAGCUCAAUGAGCUGCGCACAGAGGGACUGCAGCGGUGACGACGGCAACCGAUUCUGUAAAAUUCAGUCGAGUUUUGGGCGAUUUCUGCAGCGAUUUCGGAGGUCAAGAGGCUGAUAAGGAAAGCUGGGACGGAAGGGCACUGGUCUGGAAGAAAGGCUCAGGACACCGCUGUCCCGAUUCGUGAAGGAAGAAGUGCCCCCAAAACAAUUUCGGCUCUGGACAGGUGUACUGUUUGCACUGGACCAGGGUCGGCCCUGGCGAUAACGUCCCCCAAACAGCACAUAUACAGAUGCUAGAAAUAUAUAAAUGUAACCUGAAACUACUAGAACCAUUCAAUUCUAGCGUCUACAGCUUUAGCAUUAGUUGGUACAAGGGACAUUCUUCCAAAGAGGGAGAUGAACUCAUUGAGGCUCUUAUUUAUUCCUCCUCUUGAUGUGCCCUUUUAGGCUGCUAAUUCCACACGAUCCAAUCUCAUACAUCUUCCCUGCAAAAGCAUGUGUGCCUGACUUCAAGAUCAAAUUUUUCCAACAAAAGAAACUUAAAGAUCAAACUCGCUAGAGGAAUAAGUGGUGCACAAGGGUGUUAAAAUCUUGACAUAUGUAUAUUUUUGGCAGAUUUUAUGUGAGCAUGCAACUAAAACUGGCAUCACUAUCAAUGGUGCACAAAGAUUGGUGGAAAACUUUAACAGUUUGAGUUGUAACUUCUCCAUUGUAUUUGUUAAGGCAAGACGGAUGUCAUCUAUUCAUUUUUCUGUAAAACUUAAAAGGCUGCAUAGCAGCUCUUGUUCGUUGUAUUGAAUACCGUGGUUUUACUGAUGAAUGCAGAGUUUGCUGAUGAUUCAUACGACAAGCAAUUGAAAAUCCCAUCAUUAUGCCCCCCAUAUACCAGAAGAAAAAAAAGUCAUUUACACAAAUUCAGAGCGUUCAUCCACUGUAAUUUGCAGAUAUAGAAACGUUAAGAUAAAAGGAAAUGCAAAGUACCUUUCACCAAAUUGGAGGAGCACCGGUGGCAUUAGCAAGUUAGCAACGGGAAUUGACAUACCAAUAUCUUCACAGUUUCUGCACAAGCACAAAUCAAAAGAAUCCGGAGGUGGAGUUAUGUACCUCUCCUUGGAAAAUGCCACCUCUUGGGAUUUCAAAAUAUGCGGCCGUGGCUAGCCGUCUGACCACGCCAAUUCCACCAAAGCCGCCGCAACGCGGUGUAGUGUCCGAUUGAUUGCUUCAAAUCAGAGCUUCGUAUCCAUGUGUUUAUCAGCAGAGAGUACCCAAAACCCCUGAAAAUUAUUUCUUUAUUCAGAUAAUAAAAUAUCCCAAAUUUCGAAUUUUAAUUCCGAAUCAAAAAUAGGGUUUGAAUUUUGAUUACCUAUAAAUUGGGGGGUUGCGGUGGAAAGGGAGUCAGCCAAGACGGCGAUAUGCGUCCUCGAGAGGGCUAUGAAAAUACAAAUUACAGAGCGUGUUGGGACGAUGUACAAGGCUUUUGCAGUCUCUCAAAUAUAAAUACCGAAGCUCCGUAAGGCGUUCAAUCCAGGGGGAAAGCUCUUUAAUAGAUGUUCCAUCCAGGAAAAGACUUCUUAAUCCUUCCAUAUUUUCUUCAAUGCUUGGAAACAACUCAAAUUUUGUACAACCGGAAAGAGAGAGAGAGAAAAGGGACUUGAGCUGACAAAUGCUGCUUGGAAGACUCUUAAGUUCUUUGCAAUCUUUUAGAUUCAAAUGAUUCAAUCCCGUAAGAUUAUUAAUUGACGAGGGCAGUUCUUUAAUUUUUGACCCGGAUAAAUUAAGCUCUUCUAACUCCUCCAUACCUUCUGAAAUCUUUGGAAACAUCUCAAGACUAGAGCAGCCAGAAAGAUUAAAGGUUUUGAGAGAUUUCAUACGAAUGCUGCUUGGAAGACUCUUAAGUUCCGUGCAAUUAUGUAGAUUCAAAUGACACAACCUCGUAAGAUUAUUAAUUGACGAGGACAGUUCUUUAAUUUUUGAGCAGGGUAAAUCAAGCUUUUCUAACCCCUCAAUACCUUCUGAAAUCGAUGGAAACAUCUCAAGACUGAAGCAGCCAUAAAGAUUAAAGGUUUUCAGACAUUUCAUAUGAAUGCAGCUUGGAAGACUCUUAAGUUCCUUGCAAUCUUUUAGGUUGAAAUGACUCAACCCCGUGAGAUUAUUAAUUGACAGGGACAGUUCUUUAAUUUUUGACCCGGAUAAAUUAAGCUCUUCUAACUCCUCCAUACCUUCUGAAAUCUCUGGAAACAUCUCAAGACUGGUGCAGUCAGAAAGAUUAAAGGUUUUGAGAGAUCUCAUACGAAUUUUGCUAGGUAGAAUCUUAAGUUCCUUGCAAUCUUUUAGGUUGAAAUGACUCAACCCCGAGAGAUUAUUAAUUGACAGGGGCAGUUCUUUAAUUUUUGACCCAGAUAAAUUAAGCUCUUCUAACCCCUCCAUACCUUCUGAAAUCUCUGGAAACAUCUCAAGACUGGAGCAGUCACAAAGAUUAAAGGUUUUGAGAGAUCUCAUACAAAUUUUGCUAGGUAGAAUCUUAAGUUCCUUGCAAUCUUUUAGGUUGAAAUGACUCAACCCCGAGAGAUUAUUAAUUGACAGGGGCAAUUCUUUAAUUUUUGACCCGGAUAAAUUAAGCUCUUCUAACUCCUCCAUACCUUCUGAAAUCUCUGGAAACAUCUCAAGACUGGAGCAGUCAGAAAGAUUCAAGGUUUUGAGAGAUCUCAUACAAAUUUUGCUAGGUAGAAUCUUAAGUUCAUUGCACCCAUGCAGAUCCAAUAAAACAAGGUUUGUAAGAGUCGAAAUAGACGGGUGAACCUCAACUAAGCUUAUACAACUUCGAACAAUUAGCCUCUCAAGAUUUGGCACAUUUGUGAAGUCAGGGGUUUCCUUAAGGGAUUGACAAUAACUUAAAUUGAUGAAUUUCAACUUUUC
This 79612-nucleotide long non-coding RNA is filed under the name Malus domestica (apple). RNAcentral describes it as "long non-coding RNA (MDOM_LNC007116)". The stretch from base 14937 to 15030 matches the Rfam family "Small nucleolar RNA SNORD34". Lineage: Eukaryota; Viridiplantae; Streptophyta; Magnoliopsida; Rosales; Rosaceae. The record is from RNAcentral.